GUCAUUGCCCGUCCGCCGCUCCCGUCGCCCAGCCGCUGCCGCCCAUCCGCCCCGUCCCCAGCCCUCCUCCCCCAUCCCCACCCCCACCCCACCGCCGCCACCCCGCCGCUCCCCCUACACUGCCGCCGCUCCUCCUAGAUCCAGUCGCCCCCGCCUCUUUCUCCUCCCAGACAACAGUGACUAGAUUGACAACAUGAGCUCGAAGGAUGUCUCCUUGAGGUAAAAUCUUUCAUAUUGUUGUACAUUUUAUAUUUACAUCAAGUUAGAUUUCUAACUCGGGUUUUUUCUGUUGUCAACUCAAAUUGUUUAGGUUGGAUUCGGAAUGGUCUAGAGUAGAGAUGCAGUUGGUUGAAUAUGGGACAAGUUCAAUUUCAGCAGUUUCAGUUCUAGCUUCAGAAUGUCUAGAUAGUUGUACAAGUGCGCCUUUAUGUCUUGAGUAUGGGGCGAUUUCAGAACCAGCAGCUCCAACUGUUGGUGGGGUGAUUUCAGAACUAGCAGCUCCAACUGUUGGUGUAGAACAACCACCAAUUCAUUAUGUUGAUUGGGAUAGCUUGGAGAUAGAUGGAACAUUAGAUGAUGAGGGAAGGAUUCACGUCAUGAAUGAUGACCAAUUGUUUGCACUCCUAGGCUUGAGGGAUAAGGGCAAAAAAAUCAGUGCAUGCUGUUGGUUCAAGUAGUAAUGUUCAAACAAGUGGUCCUGGAGUCCUUGAGGGCAUCGAGGGUGCAACAAUUCCUGUCGACAAUAUAGUACCGGGUGAGCUUGUUAUAAUCUACGACAAGAAUAACCCUUGUAUGGAUCGAUACACUAAGUACCCCUCAAUGAAGGAAUUCAGAUUGGCUGUAAGAUAGUUUGCUAUCAAGAAGGAAUUUGAGCUAGGCAAAGUGAAAAGUGACCCAGAGAGGUAUAGGGUAAAAUGCGCGGUGGAGGGAUGUACAUGGAGUCUUGUUGGGCGUAGGCAGAGUGAUAAGAAAACUGUAAUGGUACUAACCUGAAACAUAAUUUUUUUUGACAUUAAUUCUAGUGUGCCUAGUAUUGUUUACCUGGUUUUAAUGGAUUACCUUUCCUUUCAUAACAAAGACCAUACUUGUACAUCUAGCAUGAGGAUAAGAACUACUACACCGUCACAGGAUUGGGUUGCUGAUAGGGCUAUUGAUAUCCUCAAGACUACACCUAAGAUGGCUGCCGUAGACUUGAUGAACCGGUUGUAGGAGGACCAGAAGGUAACUCUCUCUUACCAUACAGUUUGGCAUGGAAUGGAGAAAGCAAAGAAAGAAUUGUAUGGAUGUUGGGAGGAAAGUUUUCAAUUGUUGUAUAGUUGGAAGGAAGAGGUACUUAGGAGAUCACCUGGAAGUGUUAUAGAAAUUGACAUUAGUUGAUGGGAGAGCAUACUUUCAUAGGUUUUUUUAACAACUCAGAGGAAUGUGGACUUGGAACAAUACGUUGAUAUGGUUUACUCAGUGCAGAAAUUCAGGGCUUCAUAUGAGAGAGAGAUACCAGCAAUUCCAGACAAGUCACAUUGGCCAAAGGUGAAAAUGCCUUUCGAUUUGGGCGCACCACUAGAGAAGAGGGGUGUUGGGAGACAGAGGAAAUUGAGGAUUAAAGGAUGCCUUGAGAAUGGUGGCAAAAGUAGUGCGAAGAGUGAUGGCAAGAACAAGAAAAUCAUAAGAGGUCUAGUUACAUGCAAAAGAUGUGGUGAGAAAGGUCAUAGGCAAGCUAGCUAGCUACAAGUGCCCAUUGAAUGGAACAAAAAACGGUAUUAAUAUUUCUGUUUUUUCACUUUAUAUCCUUUCAAAUUUGUGGUGUAUCAUCCUAUAUGUAUAAAUAUAUGCAUGAAAAGGAAGCCUAGGAAAAGCAACCAAAAGAACCUUCCACCUGAACCUUCGACACCAAAAAGAACAACCAAUGAAGCUACAAUAAUGCAAGAAAGCCCGGGAAUGUUUACAAGGAAGCUACAAUAAUGCUCAAAUCUGACAAGUUAGAAUUAUUCUACUUGGUGUGCAUGCUUCAAACCAAUUGUGUGUAACUUGGCUUUUGUGUAUACAUGCAUAGGCGCCUUACAAUGCUAUUGGGAGAAACCGGUACUUCUGGAGUGGAAGGGGCUAAAGAAAUGGCUAGUACUUCUGGAGGAACAUCUAUCCUAAGAAGAAAAAAAUGACUCCCAAGAAAAUGAAGACAACCUAAUGUAUUUUAGUCGUCAAAUGUGAACUUCAAAGAGAUGUGAACUAGUAUUGUAGUUGCAAAUGUGAACUUGUCACACAUGUGAACUCCUCUUUUUGGGUCUCUUUGAUGCUUCAUGUAACCAAGAUAUUUGCUAUGUGAUGUGCUGCAAUGCUCUGUGCAUAUGCUGCUGUGUGCUAUGUGCUGUUGUGCUAUGUGCUGUUGUGUGCUAUGUGCUGCAAUUUAUUUGUAUAUAUGUGCUGCAAUGCUGCAAUUUGAUGAUGGUGUAUUUUUGUUGCUGCGAUGCAAUUUAAUGCUGCAAUUGGAGGGAACAAUCUGACCCGAACAUGUGAGAAAGGAUCCAGGGGUAUGCUGCAAUUAGAGGGAGCAAUCUGACCCUAACAUAUGAGAAAGGACCCAGGGGUAUUUUUGUCAUUUCGCAUGCUAUUUCUGAUUAAAAGGCUCAAAACAGCCCAAAGUGGCAUUUUAUUAAGGUGUAUCACCUACGGAGUGGCAUAUUUAUAAGGUCAUCCUAUAGAGUGGCAUUCUGUUAAAGCCACCUCUAUGGAGUAUGAUAUUGUUAAAUUUCUCGUUGGGGUCAUCCGUUAUGACCGACACUGAUAACCCCGAGCCAAAUUUGAAAAUUUAGCUGCCAUAAAUUCAUGAGUGCUAAUUCUAGCCACAGAUUAGCACUGAUAAAUGCCUCAUCAGUGCCAAUUUUUUUCCACCAAUUGGCACAGUCCACCACAUCAAUGGAGGUUUCUUUCUUAAACCGUACUGAUAUUUGUCACUAGUGCCAGUUGUUGCCCUCCCGGAGCGUAUGCGGGGCUAAGCGGGCAGGAGACUAUCAAUGCUGGUUUUUGUUUGUGUCUAACUGGCACUAAUUGGGCGUCACAUUUAAAGCGUUCUAUGGUUGUGGGACACAUGCUCACCAAUAUUAUCUCUUUACAAAGAGUUACCAGCAGAUCACCGACAGAUGCAAAUAGACCAUCCAACAUUGAAAAGAACCAAGAAUAAACAUGGAACACAAUUCCAAGAACAUAGAGAUCACAUUACCGUGCUAAAGAAUGGACAUAGUUUCCCCACCGCCACAGGCUGCCACUACGGAUUAAGUCGCUACUGCUCCAGAUCAAGUCGUUGUUGCUAUUGAUCAGGCUAUCAUCACUCCAAUUCAAGCCACAGUGAAAGGCACAAGGAGGUGGGAGGAGGGGGGGUUGAAUAUGCGUUCUGAUUUAUGAAAUAUUCUCCAAUUGCCGUAGGUAGAAUCAAUAGGCAGGCACUUCCUACCAACUCUCAGCCAACUCUCGAGUGAUGGCUACUACUUCCGAGCUUGUGGACCAGUAAAGUUUUGGUUGGCUGGGAAUUGUUCUUCCUAGCCCCUCACAGAAAGUAUAAAUGUGAUUAACAGAGAGCCUAACACAGAGCAAAUGCGGAUCACAAAAAUUGCAGCAAUUUGAACACAUACAUGAGGGACCAAAACAAGGGGAGACAAAGAUUUUUUUCCCGAAGUCGGACUGCACGGAUUGUACUCUCCGUUGAGGAGCUCCAUAGAGUCGGGUAUCUAUUAACCCCUUGCCUCACCGAGCUAGCCAAUGGGAAGAAGUCUUUAGCCUCCAAGCAACCACCUAGGUUUCCCUUGAUUCCAAGCGACCACCAAGAUCACACCUUGGGCAGUGAGUUCCAAUCACUAGUGAAGCUUGCUCUACCAAGAUAACCUCCAACUCGGAAUUCACUCAAAAUUUCCUCUUUUCCUUGCGGAGGUGCGGUUCACCCUCACAAAGUUGCUUGGAUCAAUGACAGCUUGAGGAAGCUCAUGGGAGACACCUAGCCAUCUAGGAAGUCACCCUCCAAGAGUAAUAAGCACCAAGCAGUAGCCUGGCGAUGAUCCCCAAAUGCGCAUCUCCUUCUAAGUCACUUACAAGCACUAAUCCUCACCACCUCCAAAGAAUCAUACUCGAAUCACCAUGGUAGCUUAGGAAGUAGUUGGAGGAGGUCAAGAAACCCUAGGAAAAGCUAGGAGAUAGAUAAACGAAAGUGGAAUUGCCAAAGGAGAUGUAGAGGGGAAGGGUGGAUUUUAUACCCACUAUCAUAUGUCAUGUAGCCGUUACUCACAUAGUUGAACUUGAUAGGUGCCAAAGAAGUUCGAGCCAAAACCACUAGGAAUUUUUGGCCAACACUUAAACACCUUGAAAAACAAGGGCCAAGAAGUUUUGGGCCAGAACACCAAGAACUUCCGACCCACACUUUCUGUUUACAUCUGAACCCGUGUAGGUUUUGUACAAAUGUGUCUCUCAUCUACAAGGAGUGGACAGUGAGCACUUGGAUAAACGCAAGCAACCAUUUCAGUAUGCUCCUUAACAGUGCAGCUUUCCUAAAGUCAAGAGCAAAAGAUACAAAGAUUUUUAAAUAAUGCCAUGAGUCCUUGCGCCGCUUUCGAUUCUGUUUGUAGGGGUCUCUAUGCACACCUAGGCACCCCGGGACAAAUUAUCUGCACCACUACAAAAAAAAGCUCAUAGAGAUUUGUUGGAGGGACGGUCUGACCGGUUUAGUAGGGCGGUCAGACCAUCAGACACAUCCUAAAAGGUGUUUUAGCCUCCAACGGCUAGUUUUGGUGGUUGGGGGUAUAUAUACCCACUCCCCAGCAGCAAGGGUAAGGUUUUGGCAUUCCAUUGCAUUAUCUUGAACCCUUGCGAGAGCUCUCACAUACUUGUGCACUUAGUUUAUCUAGUGAGGUGUUGGAGAGUGAGUUUAUCCAAUCCAUGUGCAUUGCUUUAUUGUUAGAGCUAGUGCGGCACUUGAUCAUCCUCGGUAAGCAUCCCAAACUUGUUACUCUUGGAGGUUGCUACCUCCUAGACGGUUUGAAGGAGUUGCUCGGUGACCUCUCCGAGAAGGUUCUGGAGGAGGCCCGGUGUUGAUUGUGAGUGGCUCAGUGUUCACCAUCUCCGGAGUGGAGGAAGAACAACCAUAGUGAUAGAGGCUUGGGAGACCACUUCAUGGGCCAGCACCCACCUUGCUCACCCCUUGACGAAGGGGGCUUGCGGUGGCUUCGUGGUUUGAGCUAUGAAGAAGUUGGACUUGCCACAACGGUGACGUAGGAAGUUGGCAAGCAUCCGAACAUCGGGUGGAAAAAUACUUUGUCACUUGCCUCCUUUAUUUUGUGAAAAUUUACUUUGAGCAAGUUUACAUACUAGAGUUUAUUUGUGCUAUUAUCACCCUAGCAAGCCAUAACAUAGGCUAGCUACUUUGUGCACUUAGUUGAGACUAGUUGAUUUAGGUUUUGAACUGUGCAAAACCGUUUUGAUUUACGUUUCCACGUACAAAACUCGGUUCUAGCCAAAAGUUUUAAAAACCGCCUAUUCACACCCCUCCCUCUUAGUCGACCUCCUUGAUCCUACAUUCUCUCUCUCAAGUCUGUCUUGGUAGCAGCCAAGUGGCGGCCCGGAGGAAGCGGAAGUGACGGCGGCGGCCGCACCCUCCCCUCCUCCAGAUUCUCCUCCUCGUCGUCCUUAGCAGAUGCCGGUGCCACUCCAACCUCCUCGCCGCCUCCGAGUUGCACCACCCCGGAUCCGGUAGCCUAGAGGUCGGGGGCCGCUAGAUCCAGCCUCCUAGAGUUCAGUGCUCUCCGGAUCUAGUGGCCUGUGACCUCACCGUCGUCUCCGAUGCCGGCACCGGCGCUACGGCCACUGCUGGUCGCUGGCACUGAGUGGUGGGUGGUGGGGGCCAGAUCCGGCAGCCCCAAGCUCGGGACUACCACGUUGGCAAGAAGGAUGGCGAGGACCGUGGCGUCGGGGUGGUGGUUUUCUUGAUUUUGUGUUGGGUCUUCUUGGAUUUGGGGGGAAAGGGAAUAUGCAGGAGUUUAUGUUCUAGGCAGAACCAAACAUUGUUUGCAAUGUGAUGAAUAUUCUUGAUUCUUUUUUGAGUGAAAUAUGAUGGAUGUUCUUGAUUUUUUUUCUUCCAUGGCUUUUCCAUGUAUGCAAGCUUGAAGCAUCGGCUCGAUUCAUUACCAAUAGACUAUUCUUUAGUAGUGUUGUAUACAUCUUGAUAAAAUCAUUAGUCCCUUAUAACAGUUUUGUCAUCAUUCCGCCAAAACCCACUUAGGGGGCUAGAUGCAUUUUUACAUAUCUCCUACGGAUUGGGCCACUGCCGGCAUAAUAUGCUUAGUCCACACCACCUCUUGUCUGAGUCCAGCCACCCCCAACUAGCCUCCCUGCACAACCUACCAGAUCUGCUGGUAGAUAGAUAAGGUUUGGACAUAGAGACGACAACAGUAGUAGGAGGACUUAGCUGGCUGAGCAAGUCACCAUGGCAUCUCGUUCAUUGUGCCCGACAUCCGCCGACCAUGAGCUGAUCCUUGUUAUGUUGUAAGCCAAACCACCGGUGAGCUCAAGGAGGCCACCUCACUGGUGCCAAGAAAUAGGAGCAUUCGGAUGGAGGCCCUAUUUAAUUCCCACGAAAAAACUUUUUACCUUGUCUCAUCGAUCGUUUGAACACCUGCAUGAAAUAUUAAAUAUAGGCUAAAAGAAUAACUAAUUACACAGAUUGCGACUAAUUUGCGAGACAAAUCUUUUAAGCCUAAUUGCUCCAUGAUUUGAUAAUAUGGUGCUAUAGUAAACAUUUGCUAAUAACGGAUUAAUUAGGCUUAAUAAAUUCGUCUCACGGUUUACUGACGAAUUCUAUAAUUAGUUUUAUUAUUAGUCUACGUUUAAUACUUCAAAUGUGUGUCCGUAUGUUGGAUGUGAUACGCCAAAACUUUUCACCCCUGGAUCUAAACACAGCCGGGACAGUGAACUACGCUUGCGUCUUGAUAAUGAUAGAUGUACUGUGGGCCAGAGGGCUUCUGGUGCGUCCCGAAUUUGAUUACCAUUUGAAUAGAGAGUGGAUAGAGCAAAAAGGAAGGAGAUCCCACACAUUUGAGUUAUUGUUAGCGACCUAUAAUGGGCUGGUGCUUGCAAGGUUGUGGCGUCCAAAUAUGGCUGGAGAUGGUGAGCAACUAGGGAGGGGACAAGAAUCCACCGUUGGCAGGGGCGGAUCCAGCAAUUAGGAUUCAUUAGGCUGUAGCCUAUCCUCCAAAUUUUGCAAAAAAAAAGAACUAUAUGUGAUAUAUGAGAUGAACAUGCAUUCGAGAAGAGGAACGGACACCGGGAGGUCGAGCAAGAUAGAAAGGAACACUUGGCAUUGUUGUGAUUGGGGCAGAUGCUAAAGUGGUACUUCCUCCGCUUCACAAUGUAAGACUUUCUAGCAUCACCCACAUUCAUAUAGAUAUUAAUGAAUCUAGAUUCAUAUGCGUGUCUAGAUUUAUUAACAUCUAUAUGAAUGUGGACAAUGCUAUAAAGUCUUACAUUGUGAAACGGAGGGAGUACAUCUUAAUGGCCCAUUUGGCCAAUACAACACUUCUUUGGCAUGGUUGGACUGGAGCAAGUGUAUGGGACGGGGAACAGUGGUAGGCUGCUCAUGUAGGGGUGGAUCUCGCAAAGCAAGGUCCAAUAGGUUCAAACCUUAACAUUUUAAAGUACAUAUGAUAUCUGAUAUGAACAAGCAAUGGAGAAGAGGAACAUGCAUCAAGAGGUUGAGGAAGAUGAGCGUGCUUGGGCUGAUUCUACCUUCAUGGCUGUGCGUGAGUGCUCUGCAAACUCCGGUGUCCAAUCCAAUCCUCUCAGGAUUAGUCAUUAGUUUGGUGGCUGGUGGGCCUUUUGGGCUUGGUUUAGUGGUUUAAGUUGGACUGGUUGUGGUUGUUUUUGGGCUUGCUAUCCGGGUAAUAUCCAAAUUAUUUACCGGAUACUCUAUAUCUGUCAGAUAUCAAGCUCCCGAACCUGAUCUUGUAUCCGAGAGAAAAUACACGGAUUGGGAUCCGCUACCCUUGUAAGCAUCCGCGUACCAGGAUUUUUGACCCGAAAUUGUCCCAAACUAAUAUGGUCAGGUGGGUGAGCAGGAAAUACCUGCCCCGUUUUCACCCCUAAACACUCAACACAGCACACCAAAUGUUAGCAUGCACAAAUUAUUUCACAUAGCAACAGGUUAAUUUGGAAAACAACACAUAGGCCUUGUUUGGCUAAUGGGUUUGGGAAAUGAUUUCCCACCCAUCAAAAAGCAUCUUUAAAUCCUAACCAUUCAUUCUCCCUCUUAAUCUUAAUCCUUCAUUCAUUUUUCAAUUCCAAUCCCACCUCUUAUUUCCCAUUAUCCAAACAUAGCCAGAAGACAAGAAACGAACAUGACUAGUAGCUGAUAGAAGGAACUACUGCGAACCACCAGAUGCAGAACCAGGCCCGUUUUCACUAGUUAAAAUAUAUUGCAAGUGCCCAGCUGCGUCUGUGAGGCGCGCGAACAUAAAGCAGUGGCCAUUGCUUGCAUCACGUAGCAAGCGCGCAGCCAUAUACCACACUGGACUACCUGGACGGUGGCCAUCAUUUUCCACCAUCUCCAUGCAAGUCUCAGGGCCGGUAGCCUUCGCUGCAGCUAGUUCCCUUGCGCGGCUCUCCAAGGACGCCAUGCGCAGGGUAGCGAGCCUAUCAAGCGUCUCGCCAGUACCACUGCUGCAGGACCGCUUAUUAGAACUUCCAGAGGCAUCACCCUCUGAUGCCUUCCUUUUUCCCUUACUACCACUGCUCUGAGCAUACUGUCCUUUGAUGGAGACAGCGCCGGUGGUGGAGGAGUGUACGCUGCUGUGAGCUGCUCGACAUCAAUGGGCUGCCACUGAACGGGUUGUUGCGGCGUGCCUUGGGCAGCCCCAGCGACGGCGGAAUGGUUGCGGACAACGGUGCGCAUGCUAAACACCGCAUGAUGAAGAUCAAUGUGCUUCAGGGGAUCGUUUUUGAAGGCUAUCACACCCUUCCUCACCUGUCACACAGUUGUACACAUGGAACUUUAUACAGCAAAUAUAUGAAAAGGCACAGUACACACAAGAGGACAUAAAUACAGUAUAGGCAGCAUGACAAUUAUUACUGAAGUUUGCGACAUGAUUAACAUAUAUCAUAGCCAUAGGACUCGACCACUAUUUAUAAACAUUGAAAGGAAGAAACAAGAUAAGCCUCCACUACAAGAAAUCUUAUGAUAGAUGACGCUUCAUUUACGUCACAAAUACAUAAAAUUUCGUCACGUUUCGUACUGUGAUGCUCGCGUGACGAAAAUUCAUUCGUCACCUAUCAUACGUUUCUAAUGGCGUUUUAUGACGAAACCUUUUUUUUCUGUCAUUAAUCUAGUGACGAUCCUUCUAUCGUCAUAACUUUGUGACGCUCAUAUUCGUCAUUAUCUAGCCUAAAAAAUGUCAUAAAGUAUCUGAUGGCCCAUUAAAAUCCAUGUAUUGAGCACCAUGUUUAUGGGCUUAGCCCAAUGGCAAGCCCAACUAGAUUUUAGCCUAGCCCAUCAUAGAUGUAGCAUAUUUCAGCCCAAUUCUAUUAUAUCCAUUUGCUUUAAUAACAAAUAAUGAAUGAAUAAAUGGGCCAGUCCAUUGCAAAAGCCUAUAUAGGCCCAAAUAUUAUACCACACCAUUUUCAGCCCAUUAUAUUAUCAUUUACAUUAGUAUCAAAUAACAAGUGGGCUAAGCCCAUAUAGACCCAACAAUCAAACACAAUAACAACACAUAUAGCACAAAGGCUACAGCCCAAUAGCAUCUAACACAACCCGACAAACAUCCAAUACAACACAAAAUUUACUACCCAGGUAACAGCCAAAUCCAGCCAAUUGCUCACACCUAGGCAAGCACAAAUCCUUUCAAAUCUCUAAACCGACUGCCAUGAGAGCACCCCCAAAGUCCCUUCCAUAAGCUAAACUGAAAAUCUGCCAAUACCAGAUUAAUGAUGCUCAGUGCAGUUUCUAGCUAGAUUGCAUAAACUCAAGGAUAUCACAUAGGUUCGACAUUAUUUUUGCUACUGUGGCUGUGUGGCAUACCAGCAUUCAUCUCUGUAAGCAUUGUCCAUGACAGAAACAUCUUGUCUGAUAGCGUCACAAGCUUGUUACCCUGACAUUUUGUAGUAAUUGGAGUUUUCAAGAACAAAAGAAAUGCAGCACGAAACUAUGAUAGAUGCAGCUUUGACAUUCUCUAUAAGGAGUACAUACCUCUAGAUUCAAUCUGAAUAACUUGGAACAGCCAGCAAGUUCAUCUGGCAGUACGGAUAUAGUGUUGUUUGAUUCCUACAUGUAGGGCACUACAUUAUGUUUAGGACAGAGGAUGAACAGGGAAGCUAUAGAAAUGACAGCUGUAUAUAUUUUCAUCAAACAAAGAAACCUUAUGGUGAAAAUAAGGAAUACAUCGAUGGUGGCUUACAUUGAGUUCUGACAACUCCAGGCAACUGGCAAGACUAGCUGGGAGAUCUGUAAGGCGAUUAUUUGAGCAGUCAACCCUAACAACAACAAUGCAUCAACUUACAUGAAUAUAAUCAUAUAUAGUCUCAAACAUUGCUUCUGGUAUUUAGACAUCAUACUAAUUGUCAACAUCAUUAUAUCUAAAAUAUGUGACAAAUUUGAAAUUCAAAUUCAAAUUAUUGAAACAAAGUCAUAUAGCAAAACGAACAAAACAAAAGUUGUAGAUCUUGAUAAAUUAUAUAACUUUGUUGUUGAGAAUUUUUUCAUUUAAAAUUAUUUACUACCUGAAAACUUAUUUGAAUUGAGAGAAGGGAGGCAAAAUGGACUUCUCGGCGAGGGAGGAGCAAAAGGGUUGGACCGCGGCCCAAAGAGGGAGGAGGGGAAGGGAAAGCCGGCCCGAGGAGGAAGAGAGAGGCUGUGGGCUGAGGAGGGAGAAAGUAACACUUGGGCCGAAGAAGCCCAAGGGGAGAGAGAGAUUUUAAUUUGUUUUCCAUUUAUUUUAAUAUGUUAAAUGAACUUUGUGGUAUUAAAAUUAGUUAUUGAGCUCCGAAAAUUCACGGAAAAAAUCAGAGAAUAAUUUAGAACAUAUAGAAUAUUAAAAAAAUAUUUCCAGCCAUGAUUUUUAAAGAAAAAUUUUAGUUUCCUCAGUAAUUCACUUGAUUAAAUUGCUUCACCUUUUAAUAUAUUUUUCUAGAAAUGCAUUAUAAAUCUGUGACGUUUGCUUUUACCGCUUAUGACAAAUUAAUAUUCGUCACAAUGUCCCAUUGAAAUACUUUAUGACGAUUUCUAGUUGGUAUUAACGACGAACACCUUUUUUUCGUCACUAAGCCACCCCAUCUCAUACUUAUCGUCAUAAAAUGGAAUGUGCUAAUGACGAAUAGCUCCGAUGUCACGAGAAAUUCGUCACAGAAGGUCAUAUUUCUUGUAGUCACACAUCAAAGUGUUCCCCUUCUCAGUGCACUGAAUUUUAUUCCGACAUAUCUGAAAAGUUUUUUUCAUUUUGGAUGGUAGUUUAUAAAUUUGAGAAUGGGCAAUGAAAACUAGGGGGGCAGUGAAAGCAAAUGCCAUUUCAUCCAAGAAACAAGAAAGUUGUAAUGAAAAUUGCCUUUGUGCAAACAGGGCCCAUCCAUGGUUGAAUCUAAAGAGGCUCUGUUUGCAUUCUCUUUUUUUUUGUCCCACUGGAUUGUCUAUACUGUGAUGGCAGUAAAUGAGUAACUCCAAAAACUUGAUAGCAGCAUGAUCCUUCAGCAGCUGGAUCAUUUACAAAUGUACUUGGCACCUACAGUUAUGAAGCUAAGAAAUUAUGAACUAUUAAAAACCAAGAAAGACCAAGUUGACAGCAUCAUUCUGUUCUAGCAAACAAAAUUAUGUACCAGGAGCUUCUAAAUUACAGGAGAACACUAUUUGUUAUUACAAGGAGCUAGUCAGUGAUACUCAACAGUCAAUUCAAGCCUUCAAAAUUGAGCCUAACUGCCUAUGUUCAUAUUACACAUGAAGGUAACACCAUGGUAGCAAGAUAUUUGGUUUGCAAAAUGAAUUUGCGGAUGAGUUACAUACCCCAUUUUGGCUUUCCCACCAGCUUUCGUCAGUGACAAUGGCUGAAGUAAGGGGGUCCCGGCCUUGUCCGGUUGCCUGCGAUUCAAGCCACACCCACAGCUGGAACCGCUUCUUUGCACUGCCCCAGAUGUACUCCAAUUGCCCUUUUGUCACCUUCUUCCUGCACUUGGUGAACAUUUUCUUCGCCAAGUUCUCCCAUGCCUUGGGUUUGGGGGAGUUCGAGGUGUUGUUGUAUGCCGCCAUCUCCUCCAAGCAACACUCAAGAAACACACGCAGCUCGAAAUCGGUCCAGCGACCACGCGGUUCGGACAUCUACUGAAAUGCUAGUCAACAAAAAAUGAAAGAGAGAAAAGAACUACACAAGUCAAUUGAACGGCUGACGGUGGCAAGGCUCAUUCGACGCACGAACUCGAUAACGGCUUUGGGGGACUUGGCACACACCGUACAGAGGGCAUUGGCGAUGUGCACGACGUCGUCGGCUAGAGCCUUGGCGGUGCCCGUGUCCGAGGCGACCGACUCGGAGGAGCCCUCGCCGGACUCCAGAGUGGAUCGGCGGAUAGCGAUUGGUAGAGGUGACGUGGUUGGAACAAUCUCCCUUUCCAAGGCAGGGUGUGACAGCUCAACCUCUCCUUUCCGCUUCUUCCCCCUCGCCUCCAUUCCCCUACUUCAAUUUAUUACACUCCGAGUUUAUGUUGAGCCUAACAGCUCUCCACACCACCUCGUUACUAUAUGCACCUGGAAUGCACUUCAUCGGCCGGAAACGAUCAAAAGAGCGACGUGACUGAGUGUGCAAAACUAAGAUCAGCUCCAUUCAUCUGUGUAGUGCAUUCCUCACCAUAUAUGUAGUCUGCAAUUUCAACAUUUACAUUUAUUUUUAGUCGGACUGAAAUUCUGCUCUAAGGAAUGUUUUAUAUUACCAACCAUUUGUUAUUUGGUAAAGUGCAGGUGUUGUUAGAAAUUCUAAUUAAUCUGUGAACCAUGUACUACUAGAAUUUAUUUAAGAGCUAGUAUAUCUAAGCAAGUAAGAGUUUAUUUAGCUGUGGAUUGUGGUUCCAUAUUAACCACUGUGCAGACCACUAAUGUGAGCCCUAAAACUCCCAACUCCUCUUCUCUCUCCUUAUGUCUUUCUCACGCACAUGCAAGCUGCUGCAGCUAGCUUAGCUCCUCUUUCUUCCUGCUGCCUGCUGCUGCUAAGGCUCUUCCUCCUUCCCAAAUCACGGUCCAAACCAUGGCUACCGAUUUGCCGCUGCUAGGUGUGGAUCAGCUCUGCUUUGACUGCGGCUGUGGCGGUGGCUGCUGCAGCUACGACUGCGGCUGUGGCUAUGGUGACGGAGGCUGCUGCAGCUGCGGCUGUGCUGUGGGUGCUCUUUCUCUCCCUCUUUCCUUCCCUCUCUGGCUCUAGCAUUUGUGCGCUGUGGAUACAAGUGCAGAGAAAAUCGAUGCUCAUGCCAUGACUGCUCUAUGUGCUAAAUGAAUGAUGGUAAGAAAUGAGGGGUUCACCUUUGUGUAGGUGACGAAUUCGUUCACAGUCAUGCACCCUUGUGCGUCCUCGCCGAUCUGUUCACCUCCCCUCCUCCUCGGUAAAUCACCUCCCUGCCUACCCGUUUUUUUUUUUUUUGAAAAUGUCAACGGGGGCGAAGUGCCCACCUGAAUAUAUUACGCCAAACAGACUUACACAUGGCAAAGCAAUGACGGGCAAAGCAAUGACCGCGCAAGUGCAGGCGCCCUGGAGGAUAACAGAGUGAAUACAUGGGGAAAUACAAGGGAAGAGAAACACACAGGGGCAACAUAACCACCCAAAACACAUAUUGAUGUUUUCCAUCAACAAGAUCACACCGCCAAACACCCAAACCGGCUGUAUGAGUAUUUGGCCUGAUUGGUAAUGAAGGUUGGUUCUUGCAGUGGAUGGGGCAGAUUCUUGCAUUUCACUGAUUCGUGGAUUUUGGGGCUUUGGCUAUUUCUUCUCCACUCCCUGCUACUCCCUUUCUUCUCCCCAACUCUGCUCAUUGCUCAAUCCUGCCAUGUACUACUUGGGUUUCCUAUGCAUAUGCACCGGCUUGCAUUAAUUGCUAUAGACAUGGCCAUACUUUGACCGCUUGACUGCGGUGCGCUAAGAGCGAGAACAAUAGCAGGCUAUAAGUCAGCUGUAAAUAUAUAUAGAGAAGAGAGAAGAGAGAGAAGGAAAAGCGGACUACAGAUCCCCAAGUCCGCUAUAUUUGUGUAACGGAUUUGCUCAAAUUUCUUUUCCGAGCCGAUCUAGGGUUUCCAAAACCGAUUCCGUUUUGGCCGUUACCGCGCUCUCUUUUAAAUAGUAACCACCGCUCUUCUCGUUUCACGGCGUCACUUCCGUUUUCACCGCUCUAACCAAAAACUUUCCCCAAUCUUCCACCUCGAGUUCUCCGGCAACACCCUUCAAGCUUUCCGGCGAUCCGCAGACGCUUCCGGCGACUCCAAUCUCCGCCAAUGACAAUGUCAACCUCCGCCAGUCCACCGAGCUCGUUGGCCACCGAAUACAUCGAGGUAAGUAUCCAUCGGCUAAAUCCCUUCUUUUCCUCGUAGAUUUGGUUCUUCUUCCGCUCAAUCCUCGAUUUUCUUCCUCUGUAGCACCUCACCCACCAGGUUGCAAUUCCUAGUGUAGCCGAUGAAUUCCAGUUUUUCCUUGGCCCAAUCGGAAACUUAGACCCCACAGAGUUCAUCAAUGGAGAAACCAACCGAAUCCCCUUCAGAUUUUGCCAAUCCUGACCUUAGCCCUUGGAAAGGCACCUUCAAAUCCUGGCCAUCAGCCGAAGUCAGCUAGCCUGCGUGGUACAAGAGGAUGUUGACUAGCAAAUCAGGUCACUGGAAAGAAAUUGGCAUAGCCCAAGCCUUAGCCCUUACUGCAGCAAAUAUGGCAAGGAAUGAACCCAUGAUGGCAGCAUCCACCUAUUUUUGGUCCAUAGCCAUGAACACGUUCCUUUUCUCUCAAGGACCGAUGACCCCAACACUAUUAGAUAUCAUCAUGAUCACUGGUCUAGAUAUCACUUCAUCGGCUAACUUGUCCAGCCUAAACACUCAACUCACCCAUGAGUUCAAAACCAGAAGCAUAGGUGGUUGGUCAGGUUAUGUUGCCAAGAACAUGGGAACUGGGCCGGUUACCCCAAGAGAACACACAGCUUUUCUUAUGAUGUGGCUGGAAAAGUUCUUAUUCUGUGGUCCAAGCUGUGGUCCGACCGCAAACUGGCAAUGGGUUGCUGAAAAUCUAGUAGAAAAGAAGCAUUUUCCCCUUGGCAAGUAUCUGCUAGGCUAUUUGUAUCAGACCCUCAAUACUGCAAUUGACAAAAUAGCCUCUGGAAAAACAAUCGGCACAGGGGGUCCAUGGUGGCUACUCCAAAUUUGGCUGAAUCUGCAUACCAGAAAAGUGGCCAAUCGGCCAGCACUAGCCGAUGUAGAAUUCCCAAGAUUCGAGCCGAUCAUCAGGGACGAUGGAGAAACAAGCACCACAUGCCGAUGUAUGUCCUUCGAAGAAGCAGCAUCGGUUAGCGCAAUGUCCAAGCUAUCGGCUGAACCUUUCAGGGAAUGGUUCAAUAAUUUCUAUGAUGGGUUCCCCAAGAAUGAUAGGAUCUGGUUUGCAUAUGAAGGAUCUGCUAGCUUUGAACUACCAGGUGACUUUUGAUUUGAUGAAAUCAACUCUGACAAAUAUGAUAAAUCUAGAGAAGUAUUCUCAACAGCUAUCAGCCCCUUCAUCAUCCAUGUCGGCAUCCAUCAAGGCAAGAAUAUCCAGAUGACUUACGAAUUCUAUCAUCCAACAAGCGCUGUAAGGCAAUUCGGCAUGGGACAGCUGCCAAUUAGCCUAUUCUUUGCUGACAAGAUCCAAAGUAGAGGAGAGAUUUCAUCAUUCCUUAUGAUGGAUCGGCUGCUGAAUCUACCAGGACCACCUCUUGGCAGUAUUGACAACAUCAGACUAAGGACUUUCAGGAGUGUGGCCUUUGACUGAUGGUGGAUAUAAUGGAAAAGACAUUUGUUCCAUCAAUUGCCGUCCAUAUAUUUGACGAACCUGUUUCCUGACGAUGUCCCACAGGUAAAAUUCUCACAUUUUGUUAAUUUUAUUAACCACAAGCCGAUGCGUCUUUAACUUAUGCGAUCCUGUUCUUUAUAGACAACAGAAUCUUCUCCUCCUCACCAGAGCAAAAGUGGUGUGGAAAUUGAAUAUGCACUAGGGCUCCUACCUAAUGGUGGUGGACUAACACCUCCAGUCAUCGGCUAUAAUGCCCCCAAGACCUCCACAUUGCUGCACGGCCUGUCUCGUAUGCCGAUUGCUCGUGCUGCUGGAAGGAAAAGAGCAAAAUCAGCUGCGGCACCAUCGGCUGCAAAGAAAAAGUCUAAGAAGCAAAAGACUGCUGCCGAUGAUCUGCCAGCCAUUGAUCCAGAUGUAGCAGAUUUCCUGGAGGAUGAAGCAAUGUCCGAAGAGGUGAAUGAAGCGACUGAACACAUCAGUGAAACACGGGAACAGACCCCCCUGCCGAUCCACCUGGCCCUCAGAUAACACCAUCACCUCCAGUACGUCCCACUUAUCAGCCCAGGGUAUGCAUCUCUUUCUCAUUCAUUGUCCUUAUACUUUAGAACCGAUUUCUGACUUUGUGCUUUGCAGAAAAAGAAGAUAGCUUCCAAGAAACCACAAGGAGCAGCUGCACCGGUUAAUUUCCCUGAUCCUAUCAAUUCUCUUUUUCAGUUUUCAACCGAUGCUAACUUGUACUCACGUUUUCAGCCCCCUCGACAUUCAACUCCUGUCUUUGAAUCAAGUGAAAGUACUCCAUCGGUUAUAGGAAGUCAUCAUGUAGAAGAAGAAGAAGAAGAAGUAGCACCAACUCCUGCUGUCCCUGUAAGUAUAAACCUUAAUUUUGAAAAUCAUAUCGCUACCAAUCUUUCUAAUAAUCCACAAUAUCAAUGUUUCUCUCUUUCAGGUUCUAGCCGAUAUGUUCUCUUUUGACAUCAGGCUAUUCUUGGAUGAUGAAGAAGAAACAAGAAGCUAAGCUCUAGUGCCCCUAGCCGAUGAUAUCAAGGCAACCUUAUUGGAUAUCUCGAAACAACUUGAAGGCUCCCUGGAGACUUUGGUUACAAGCUGCGGAUCCAUCACGGACAGACUCAAUGAAAUCCAUGACAAGAUCCUAGAUGAGCACCAGCGGCAUAUCUUAAGCAACAUUGGCUUAAAUUUGAAAAAGCCCAAAAGAGAAUUGCCGAUCAGCGUGAAAGGAGAGAUCUUGAAGCAACCAUCCAAGCCAACAGAACGUCCAUCAAUGAAGAAAAAGCUAAGCUGGAUGAGUUGGAGGCUGGUCCAAGUGCAACUCAAACCAACAUUGAUCAGCUAAAUAAAUGGAAGAUAGAACUCAUAGCUGGACUAGAGCAAUGCAAUGCACAACUUGCUCUUGAACAGGAAAAGCUUGCCGAUCUGCCAAAAGCCAUCGAAGACCAAAAAAUCCAAGUUGAAAGCAUCUGUGAAGCAUCUAACUGAGCUGACCAAGUCAUUGAAGCCGAUUUCCAGUACUAAUGCAGCCGAUGCCAAGAUAAUCAAUGAAGUAGAUCAAGUUAGGCAAAAGGCAAUAUCGGCUAUUCAAAAAUAUGUAUCCGGAUGAGCCGAACCUUGUAAUUUUCAACUUUAAACUUACAAACUUUUGGGCUGUAAUGAAUUCCAUGUUAAACCUCUGCCUUCAAAUUUUUGCUUUUGAAAUCCAUAUUUUCUAUAUCUCUGCAAUGUUGAAGACAUUGAUAAAAUUAUAAUUUGGACUAAGGGCGACAUAAUAAAUAUCAGCCAUCAUAUAUCGGAGGAAUACAAGCGAUUAUGAUAAUAAAAACAAGUAAGGGCGAUACAAUCCAUAUCAGCCAUCAUAUAUCAACAAAACAUAGCUGAUUAUGCUAAUAAAAACUGCUAAGGGCAAUAUAACUUAUAUCAGCCAUCUCAAGGCGAUGUCAACACAUCGGCUAGCAUGCAUCGGCAAUACUCAACUGAUCAUGAAUUGACCCGAACACUUGGGUAAUAUUUCUUCAGAUAUUUUCCAUUAAGUGCUCAUCCAUAAACUUCACCAUCAAGUCCUUGCAACAUAUAAGCUCCUUUGGACACAACCUUAUGUAUUUGAAAUGGCCCCUCCCAAUUUGGAGACCACUUGCCGAAUUUAUUAUCCCGAGUUCCUAUCGGCAAGAUUAACUUCCAAAUUCCUGGUAAAAAAAAAAGAUUAACUUCCAAACAAGCUCUCCCUCAGAAAAAGACUUAGGCACCACUUUUUUGUUAUAAUGCCGAGCAGCCCAUUCUUUAUCCUUGGUAACUUUUGCAAGAGCUCUCAGUCUGGAUUGAACCAAGUCUUCUUUUUUCAUCGGCAAUGAUAUUAUAAUAUUCAUUGGCUGUCAACUCAUUCUGCAAAUCCAUCCUUCUCGAGCCGAUUCUAAUCUCCCAUGGUAAAACUGCCUCGUGUCCAUAUACAAGUUUAUAAGGAGGAACUUGAAUCAAUCCAUGGCAAGCCAUCCGAUAAGACCAUAAUGCUUCAGCCAACCUUGUGUUCCAUUGCCGAGGUAAAUCAAAAAUCUUCCUCUUGAUCAAUUUAAGCAAACUCUUGUUAGAUGCCUCGGCUUGCCCAUUGGCUUCCGCAUAAUACCCAUACUAUCAGCAAACUGAACAAAUUCAUCAGAUACGAAAAUAGAGCCCUGAUCGGUUGUGAUAGUCUGAGGAAUUCCAAAUCAAUAAAUAAUAUGUUCCUUGACAAACUGUAUUGCAUCCCCAGAAUCAACAUUUUUCAAAGGAAUUGCCUCCACCCACUUGGUAAAGUAAUCGGUUGCCACCAAUAUAAACUUGUGUCCCUUGCUUGAAGGUGGAUUAAUCAUACCGAUCAUAUCAAUUCCCCAACCUCUAAAUGGCCAUGGCUUGAUGAUAGGGUUCAUAGCCAAUGCUAAUGCUCUCUGAAUUGCUCCAAACUUCUGGCAAUCUUGACAUCCCUUGUAAUAUCUGAAGCAAUCUUUUAACAUCGUCGGCCAAAAAUACCCUGCGCGCCGAAGUAACCACUUCAUCUUGUGAGCGAUUGGUGAGUACCACAAAUACCUUCAAGUACCUCCUCCAUCACAACCUUAGCUUGAUCAGUACUCAAACACUUAAGCAAUACCCCAUCAAUCGUCUGAUAAUAGAGCUCAUCGUCUAAUAAUGUAUACUUCAAAGCUUUGUAGCACAAUUUUCGUGAAGCCGAUUGAGAUGGGGUCUACAAAUAUUGAAAAAGAUCGUAUCUCCAAUCAUCGGCUGCAAUUGUGGCAACUUCUAUUUCAAUAUCUUUCACCAUCGGCUUAUAUCCUGAUGCCCCCUGAGCCAAAUCAUUAGCUUCAACAUUUUGCUCCCUAGAGACAUGCUUCAAAGUUACCAGCCGAAAACUAUUCAUCAAUUCCCGGCACUUUUCAUUGUAGAUCAUCAACGUAUCAUUUUUGCAUUCAUAUUCUCCUGCCAACUGACUGAUUACCAACAAUGAGUCCCUCAUGAUCUCCACAUCAUCGGCUUCCACUUCCUUGAGCAACUGCAACCCCUUGAGAACUGCUUCGUAUUCGGCCUGAUUAUUAGUUGCAUAAGGUUUAAUAGUAUAAGCAAACUCAAAACUUGCCCCCCGAGGGGAAAUUAUUACCAAGCCGAUACCACAACCAUGAGUAUACACCGAUCCAUUGAAGAAUAAUGUCCAAGGUGCAAUAUCAACCGAGCCAAUCGAAUUAUCUCGAUGUUCCACAAUGAAAUCGGCUAUAGCCUGCCCCUUGAUGGCCUUGGGCGAUUCAUACCUGAGGUCAAAUUCUAUCAAGGCAUAUAUCCACUUUCCAACUCUUCCUUUAAGAACCGGAGCCGAUAACAUAUAUUUGAUCACAUCGGCUUUGCAUACUAUAGUGCAUUCAUUGGAUAACAAAUAAUGCCUCAACUUGGUGUAAGAGAAAUAUAAACACAAACAUAACUUCUCCACCGGAAAAUACAUUGUUCCUGCGUCCAAAAGCCUGCGUCUUAAGUAGAAAAUAAGUCUUUCCUUGCCUUCGAGCUCUUGGAUUAAAACUGAGCCGAUUGACUUCUCGCCAGCCGACAAGUAUAAUCUGAAUGGUAUUCCCUUCUGUGGAGCAAUCAAUACUGGAGGAGAGCUAAGAUAUUCCUUAAUAUUAUUCAAAGCCUUCUGUUGAAACAAGAUUUCGGCAAUACGAAAAGGGGGUGGCUAUCAAGCAGGAAAAGUGGAUGGGUUUAGAGACAAGGAAUUUUAUAUAGGUUCAGGCCUUCUCAAUGAGAAGUAAUACCCUACUCUUAUCCGGGGAUUGAUUCACCGAGUGUAUUAUUGAUCGUAUGAUCUGGGAGAAAAGUUAUGCCCAAGAGGCGCCCGGACCCCUCCUUAUAUAGUGAGAGGAGUCCGUAUUACAAGAUACAGCGCAUAUUCCUGACGAAAUAGGCAAGUAAAAAUAAAUACAAUCGUAACCGACUAGGAUCUCGGGUAUUUCCUUGAUACACAAGUUAAGAUAUAACUCGAGCCCUUUAACGAUAUCUUAUCUAUAUAUGGUACCCCUAUACCCAGUCGGAUAUACAUGCCGUGUGGGUAUGGGGUAUCCAUAAUCUCCACACAUUCUGCUGCUCUGCCCCCCAAGUGAAUUCUUGAUCGGCUUUCAACCUUAGCAAGGGUGUAAAAGGUUCCAAUCUCCCAGAUAAGUUAGAAAUAAACCUUCUAUAAAAUUUACCUUGCCGAUCAACUUCUGCAAUUACUUCUUGUCUUCUGGAGGUAGAAUCUUCUUGAUCGCAUUGACACUCCUCUGAAUUACUUUGAUCCCCCUCUCAUGAACAAGAAAACCCAUAAACUGCCCAGCCGAUACAUUGAAAGCACACUUCGUGGGAUUCAUUUUCAAGCCAUAUUUCCUUGUUCUUUCAAAAACCUUUUUCAAAUCGGCUCUGUGGUCUUCCACCUCUUUUGAUUGAACAACCACAUCAUCGAUGUAGACUUCAACCAACAAGCCGAUCAGAUCAUGGAAUAUAUAAUUCAGUGCCCUCUGAUAUGUAGCCCCAGCGCUCUUCAAGCCAAAAGUCAUCACAACCCACUCAAAUAAGCUGAUUGCACCAGGACACCUGAAAGCAAUCUUGUGAAUGUCUUCUUCUGCCAUAAAAAUUUGAUUGUAACCUGCAUUGCCAUCCAUAAAACUGAUAAUCUUGUGCCUUGAAGUAGCAUCAACCAAUUGAUUAGCAAUCGGCAUUGGGUAUUCGUCCUUAGGGGUAACCUUGUUUAAAUUCCAAAAAUCUAUGCACACCCUAAGCUUGCCAUUCUUCUUGAUGACCGAGACAAUAUUUGAAACUCAUUCAGCGUAUCGGCAUGGCCUGAUAAAACCAACAUCAUAUAAGCGAGUUACUUCAGCCUUGAUAGCAUCAUACAUAUCGGCUUUGCAUCUCCUUGGAGGUUGCUGGUAAGGUUUGUACCCAGGUUUGAUAGGAAGUCGAUGUUCAAUAAUCGAUUGGCUGAGUCCUGGCAUCUCGUAAUAUUCCCAAGCAAAGCAAUCUCUAUACUCUUUGAAAAGCUCUAUCAACGUGGUUCUAAACUCUGUCAAUAAAUUUUUACUAAUAAAUGUCGGCCUUGGCCUAUCUCCUGGGCCUAUGUCAAUCUCUUCCAAAUCAUCAGCCGACAUGAAACCCUGUCCUAAUUUGCCAUCGAGAUCAUCCACCGUGUCCUUGGUGUAGAAAUUUGAACCCUCCACGAUGCCCUCAAAAUAAUAAUUUGGGGUCUCCAUCUUCAAUUGGUUGUAUAUCACAAUCGGACACUUUUAGAAAAUUGUUGGUAUUUCUUAAUGACAUUACUAGAAAUAUAAUUUCCAGCAAUGGCGCAGAAAUACUUCUGGUAUAUUAUGGUUGUAGAGUUCAUCCACAAGCGCAUGGAUAUACCAUUGUAGCAUUUCACCCGAGAUUAUUCCAAGGGUAUUGUAUUUAUUUUAUCCCGUGGGAAGAUUAUGUAGAGAGAACUCAACUAAUAAUUUAUAUAUUACUUGUGAUAAUCAUAUUCUAAGCGGGGGUUACGAAAAUCCAAGGGUAGAGUGACACACAAGCAUUUCUACUCAUUCUCAUAAUAAAUAAUCUAAUGUCAUGCCCGGAAUUUCUAUCCAAAACUCCAAACGCUUACAUGUGUGUAAACCCUCGUCCAGGAAUCAGUCGAGGCACACAAUAACAAAUUGAUAAUAGAGUGCAAUUAUUGCUCUAUUUAAUAGGCGAAUAUAAAGUCAUUACAGAGGUAGAUAGUUCCUAUCAAACAAUAGAGAUCUAAGCAACAGAAAAUAAAAUAAAGAGCAUAGGCGACUCCAUCCCACCAGCAGCUUGACCAGGGCUACGCCUAAUCCUCCACACCUUCAGCCUCACUGUAGAACUCCUCCAAUGAUGAAUGGUUGCAAGGUGAGUAUAUGACAUACUCAACAAGCCAUGCAGCAAAUAUGCAAGUGUAGGGGAUAACAAAGGAUGGCAUAAUAUAGUCUCAUUUGCAUAAAUGGCAAUCAAUAAAUACUUCAGAAUUCAGAAAAACAGUAAAGCAUUUAAUUAAACAAUAUUAAUCCAACGCUAUACAACAUACCCGUUGCAUAGGCCCAACCAUUCUGAACAACCAUUCCCGGCUGCACAGUUCUAUCUCCAAACCAGGAAUAUACCAUUCCAAACCAGGAGCUAAACAAGUUAUUACCAAUUACAACAUCAUUUAUUAUGGUGAGAGGUGUGAGACUAAUCACGAAAGACAUUGUUAGACUCGCCCAUAACCGCGGGCACGGCUAUUCAAAUAGUUUUACUCUGGCCAGAGGUGUACCACUGUACCCACAAGACACAACCUCAACAUCAUGUCAACCAUGCGUCGCGAUACUUAACAAGAACCUGAAUAGAGAUUGUGAAUAGAGAUUGUGACAAUACCCUCCGCAUAACACAAUUCAAAGCAGUGCACCAUUCCUAGAUCAUAAUCACUACCUUAUAAAACAAGGCAUGGACUCCCCAGCGACCCCCCUGGGCUUAUCUCCGCCACUUCUCAGUCUGGUGCCCCAUAAUGAACCACACUAUAUAAAAGGUAAAGCCGUUGCCCACGCUGGCUUGUGGUUGGCACGGUUAAUGUUUCACAACCAAAAAUCGUGAACCGGUUCUUAAUUGUCAUGAGCACGACCAUCAAAACUGUUUACACCCAAAUUUGGCACCUAGGAUUAAAAUAGGAAAGAUUGCCAAAAUUUGGAAGUCUACCGGUUUCCUCCGAGUAGGCCGGUCUGACCGCCGUGUGUUCGCCGGUCAGACCGCCAGUUGAGGGCCGGUCAGACCGGCGGUGUGUGGCCGGUCUGACCGGCAGGUCUGAGUCCGACUGUGUUUUGUCGGGUCUCGAGGUUUCCUUGCUCGGGAAGGCAUGUUUCGGGUUUCCUUUGGUUUCUGCCCCGAGUUGGACGUGGAGGAGGGCCUGUAGAGGGCAAGACCAACCCCUAUAUAAGGGACAUGGCCGGUUCAUUGUAAAAAACCAAUCUACAAUCAAUUAACCGAAUCGUUUUUUCAUAUUGCUUUUAGUUUUCUCUUAGUUUGUCCAUCUUUAUCGGUUUGCGCCGUAAACCGUCCGCCACCGCUGCGAGAGUGCGACAUCUCUUUGUAGGUUUGUCCUGAAAACCUUCCGUUUUGCCCACGAGAUGGGUAGUUAUCUAGAAAUCGGCUCCGCUAGCCGGUUUAGUUAUCAAAACCCAUUUAGGUUUAGCUCUUUGCUAGAUCGAGGUGGUUGGCGACUCUAGGAUCACCGCAGGCUUAAGGUGCUGCGAUCGUGCUUGUCAACUUGUCAAAAAAGUUGCCAACACGAUUUUUGACGACUCUGCUGGGGACGAGAUCUGUUCAUCGUCAACUCAACUUCGACUUCGUCAUGACGUAGCCGCCAUCCAAGACGGAGGUGGAGCCAUCCAAUAUGAUGCCAGUCACCUUGGAUAAAUUCGAAGGAGAAGACCGUAAAGCUAUGGAGGAGUACAUCAACGAACUCACACGGGAGGCAUUGAUGAGGGCAAGCACUAGGACUCGUCAAGGUGUGACCAUCAAGCCCGGGCCACGUCCUAAGCUCGCUCCUGACUUGGUAAGUAAUGAUGAGGUAACACAAUCUAUCCAACAACAAGUAGCAUCUACAAUAGAUUCAUCUAUGAUUGCUUUUAAAGAUAAGUUAGAUGCAACUUUUGAGGAUAAAUUUGAUGAGUUUUUAAGGGUUAAAUUCGGCCCUCUUAUGGCCAAUUACAUGUCAAAAAAUAAAGCCUCUACCACUGCUAACCAACCUCCUAUAGAUCAAACGGGUAGUAAAACCGAUGAAGCGGCGCAUGCGGCCGGUCUGACCGGGCCUGACGGCCGGUCAGACCAGGACUUAGCCGUCGGUCCAACCGGCCAAACGGUCGGUCAGACCGGCACUCAAGCCAGUGCCGGUCCGACCGCGCCUCUGGAUGCCGGUCAGACCGGGCCUUGGGCCGGUCACACCGGUGCAAUUGUUCCGAUACAAGGAAUACAUCCAAUGACUAAUGCUGGUUAUUUGUAUCAUCUUAGAACAUUUGAUCCUCCUGUAUCUACUGCUGCAAGUAGUCCCCAGGUUCCCCCACAUGUUCCUAAUGCUUAUAAUGAUGUUGCUAGGGGGUAUCCCCCCGAUACUAGACAAGGCCAAUAUAAUCAUAUUGCGCCACAAACACAAUCUAUUAGGCCACUGAAUCCACCGCCAAGUCAACAUGGGCCUAAUAAUAUAGAGGAUAUAAUUAGUGAGAUUAUUAGGAAUAGAUUCGGGAUUGAAACUAGGAAUCGUGCUAGGGUUUACAAAAAGCCGUAUCCUGAUUAUUAUGAUGAUGUGCCGUUUCCCCGUAAUUUUAGAGUUCCCGAAUUUACCAAGUUUAGUGGUGAGGAUAGUAAGACCACAUGGGAGCAUGUAGAUCAAUUUUUGGCACAAUGUGGUGAGGUUAAUAGUGAUACUUUUAAAUUGCGCUUGUUUUCUUUAUCUUUGUCCGGUAAUGCUUUUACAUGGUUUACUUCUUUACCGGCAAAUUCUAUUCAUACUUGGGCUCAACUAGAAGAAAAAUUUCAUGAUUAUUUCUAUACUGGAGAAACUGAGCUUAGGUUAUGUGAUUUAACAUCGGUUAAGCAAAAAUAUAAUGAAUCUGUCAUUGAUUAUAUUAAGAGAUUUAGAGAUGUUAGAAACCGAUGUUAUACCUUGAAUAUAACUGAUAGAGAUUUGGCUAGUCUUGCUUUUAAUGGUUUAAUUGCUCCUCUUAGAGAAAGAUUAGAUGGCCAACAAUUUCUUGAUGUUAGUCAACUUAUGCAUAGAGCUCUGGCUCAAGAAAGCCGGGUUAAGGAUAAUAAAAAACUUGUUAGACCAUAUGACAAAAGGCCUAAUGUUAAUGUGGUUGAUUACCCUGAGGCUAGUGAUAGUGAGGAGGAGGGUGAUCAUGAUAUAUAUGUUGCCGAAUGGUCAUGGACUAAUAAAAAUAAGCCUUUUGUUUGUUCUAACCUAAUGCCAACUCCUCGCAAAGAUCGACAAAGUGAAUUUAAAUAUAGUUUUGAUGUGGCCAAGUGUGAUAAGAUUUUUGAUUAUCUUUUGCAAGAAAAACAAAUUAGAUUACCUAAAGGCCAUGUCAUACCAUCUCAAGAAGAGUUGAAACGUCGUGCAUAUUAUAAAUGGCAUGAUUCUCAUUCUCAUUCUAUUAAUGAUUGCAAUGUGUUUCGACGACAGGUUCAAUCGGCCAUAGAUGAAGGACGAUUGAAGUUCACCGAUGGCUCCAAGAUGAAGCUUGAUCAUGAUCCUUUUUCGGUGAAUACAAUUAAUUUCAAUGAUAAAAAGGUGUUGAUUCGGCUGGAGCAAGCCGAAUCUACUAAGGGAAAAGGAGUGGUCAUUGGCGAACCAAGACCUAAGAUGAUAGUGCCAAAGAAGCCGGAGGUUGGCGUUUGGAAGGAAAAUAAGAAUGAAGCUUCAACUUCUAAAGCCCCUAGGAAGACCAAAGUGACUUUUGACAUGCUUUUGGAAAAGUAUGAGAAACAAGGUGGUGAGAGAGCUCGAAAUAAAGGAAAAAGACCAAGAUCACCUCCUAGGGAGCGAUUUGGUUAUUCACCAAGACGGUCGCAUUCACCUCCAUAUCAUCAUCCACAAGACAUGUCAUGGGGUUCUUAUCCAAUGCCGCCGCUGGGUUAUCCUUAUCCUUAUUACAUGCCAUGGGGAGCAACGCCGCCAAUGUUCAAUCAUAUGCCUCUAAUGCAAUUCAACCUAGGGUGGGGAGGACCAAGGAGGCCAAUUCAUGAGCAUUUGUCUUCACCAAACAACGGCCGGUUUUAUGGUAAAAAUCGGGCUAAUGAAGAAAGAAGGGAAGGAAAGCGCAUCAAGGUGGAGGGAAGGACUUCGGAAGUAAUUACCAUCAAAGAGGGGUCUCAUGAUGUGCCAAUACCUUCUGGAGAUGGAGUUGGAGUGUCCCCGAACAAAAAAUCCGAAGCCGAUACCAGCUCAUCGCAGUCGGCCGGUCUGACCGCAGCCAUACGGCCGGUCUGACCGCCGGCCCGACAGCGGUCCGACCGACGCCUCAGGCCGGUCUGACCGUACGCCGAGUGUCGGUCUGACCGGCACAUCUGGCCGGUCUGACCGAUGGUCUACGGCCGGUCUGACCGGGCUCCAGCGCCGGUUUGACAGGAGAAUUGCAAAGGACGAUGUGAGGGCUUCAUCGUCUUCAAACAAAAUUAAUAGGGGGCAUUAUUUACCUCCUGGAACAGAGCCGAAUCCUAGGUGGAUGCCUAAGGAUUUGACGUCUGCUCAAAAGAGAAGGUUGCAAUGUCUUCGGGCUCAAGAGAUAAGAGAGAAAAAAGCCGAAGAACAAAGAGAUAAAAGGUUUAAUGAGUUGCGACCACCACCGGUAUGGAGGCGUAAAUCCAUAGAGAACGAAAAGUCGGUUGUUGUAGAGGAGAAGGAGGAACAAUCGGUUGAUAAGGGUGAAUCAUCUCCAAAAGAAGACAUGGAUAUUAACAUGGUAUGUAUGUUGCCUAUGGAUUUUUGUGCUAUGGAUGAAGCCGAGGUUGCUCAAUUCUCAUUAGGUCCUAAAGAUGCGGUUUUUGAGAAGCCCGAUGAGUCAAACCGUCACAUGAAGCCUCUCUAUCUCAAAGGCCAUGUUGAUGGGAAGCCGGUCUCUAGGAUGCUAGUAGAUGGAGGUGCCGCCGUGAACUUGAUGCCGUACUCAUUAUUCAAGAAGUUAGGGCGUGAGGAUGAUGAGUUGAAGAAGACCAACAUGAUUCUCAAUGGCUUCAAUGGUGAACCAACAGAGGCAAAGGGUAUCUUUUCGGCAGAGCUCACCGUGGGAAACAAGACGCUACCAACCGCUUUCUUCAUCGUCGAUGUGCAAGGUAACUACAAUGUUAUUUUGGGUCGUUGUUGGAUUCAUGCCAAUUGUUGUGUGCCUUCUACCUUGCAUCAAUGUUUAAUUCAAUGGGACAGCGAUGAUGUUGAAAUUGUUCAAGCGGAUACAUCGGCCGAGGUUGCAAUGGCCGAUGCUACUUUUGAGUGGCGUCAUGGGAAUAUCCAAUGCUUAUCGGGGAGGGAUCUUUCUAGCUAUGAUUUUAUUAGUAUCUCUGAUGGCAAAUUUGUACCUAUCUCUGUAAAGCCGGCUAGUGUAGCACGGGUAAGCCAUAUAAAUUUGUAUAAUGAGUAAAGAGGCUAAUUUAGAGUGGUUACAAAAGAGGGUGCAAGAAUAUCGGUCUACAAAGAACGAUAUUGGUGAAACCGUUGAAGAUUUUGAUGAAGUAGAGAAGCUUGGAAAAGGGUUUACAUCAGCCGAUCCUUUGGAGGAAGUAGAUAUAGGUGAUGGAACUAAACCAAGGCCGACUUUUGUAAACAAAAAUAUGAGAGCCGAUUAUAAGGUAAAAAUAAUCGAGCUACUUAAAGAGUAUGUUGAUUGCUUUGCAUGAGAAUAUCAUGAGAUGUCGGGUCUUAACCGUGAGCUCGUUGAGCAUCGGCUUUCAAUUAAACCAGGUUUUAGGCCUUAUAAGCAAUCACCUCGUCAUUUUAAUCCUUUGCUAUAUGACUGAGUCAAAGAGGAGAUUGAUCGGUUGUUGAAGGCGGGGUUUAUUAGGCCAUGUCGUUAUGCGGAGUGGGUUUCUAGCAUAGUCCCGGUGGAGAAGAAGGGGAGUGGUAAGAUUAGAGUUUGCAUAGAUUUUAGAGAUUUAAAUAAAGCCACUCCCAAAGAUGAGUAUCCUAUGCCUAUAGCCGACAUGAUGGUUAAUGAUGCCUCGGGUCAUAAGGUGAUUAGCUUUCUAGAUGGUAAUGCCGGCUACAAUCAAAUCUUUAUGGCGGAAGAGGAUAUGUACAAGACGGCUUUUAGGUGCCCGGGAUUUGUUGGUUUGUUUGAGUGGGUUGUCAUGACCUUUGGGUUGAAGAAUGCCAGCGCGACGUAUCAAAGGGCAAUGAAUUUGAUCUUCCAUGAUUUGCUAGGUAUUAUUUUAGAGAUCUAUAUUGAUGAUAUUGUUGUCAAAUCGGAUGGUAUGGAAGGACACUUAGCCAAUUUGAGAUUAGCUUUUGAGAGGAUGCGCCGGUAUGGUUUGAAGAUGAACCCACUUAAAUGUGCUUUUGGUGUGUCGGCGGGGAAGUUCUAAGGAUUCAUGGUGCAUGAGAGAGGAGUUGAGAUUGGUCCUAAGAAGAUAGAAAAGAUUCGUGAUUUCAAAGCGCCGGCAUGCAAGAAGGAAGUACAAAAGUUGCUAGGUAAGGUGAAUUAUUUGAGAAGGUUUAUUUCUAACCUAGCGGGUAAAUCGAUACUUUUGUUCCUAUACUUCGCUUGAAAAAAGAAGCCGAUUUUACUUGGGGGGCAAAACAAGAAGAGGCGUUUGAAGAGUUGAAGAGGUAUUUGUCUACUCCACCCGUUGUGCGAGCGCCUAAAGCCGGAAAGCCUUUUCGGUUAUAUAUUACCUCCGAGGACAAAGUCAUUGGUGCCGUUUUGAUGCAAGAGGAAGAUGGCAAGGAAUAUAUCAUUACAUAUUUGAGCAGCCGUCUUUUGGAUGCCGAAACGAGGUAUGUCUUUAUAGAGAGACUUUGUUUAUGCUUAUACUAUGCUUGUACCAAAUUGAGGCAUUACUUGUUAUCUAGUACAUGCAUAGUUGCUUGUCAAGCCGAUGUUAUUAAACACAUGUUGCAAAGGCCAAUUCUAAGUGGGAGAAUUGGCAAGUGGGCAUAUGCUUUGAUAGAAUAUGAUUUGGCUUAUGAACCAUUGAAAUCUAUGAAAGGCCAAAUUGUAUGUGAUUUUAUAGUGGACCAUCAUGUAGAUAUUGCUUAUGAGGAAAAGGUUUGCUUAGUUGAAGUUAUACCUUGGAAGAUUUAUUUUGAUGGUUCUUCUUGCAAGGAAGGUCAAGGCAUAGGGGUAGUUUUGUUUUCACCUAAUGGCAUGUGUUAUGAAGUAUCGGUUCGUUUGGAGUAUUAUUGUACAAAUAAUCAAGCCGAAUACAAUGCUUUAUUAUUCGGCUUACAAGUUAUGGAGAUGGUUGGAGCUAAAUACGUGGAGGCUUUUGGUGAUUCGGAAUUGGUGGUACAACAAGUCGCCGGAGUCUACAAAUGCUUGGACGGAUCACUAAAUAGAUACCUCGAUUCAUGUUUAGAUAUUAUUGCCAAUUUUGAUAAUUUUGCUAUUAGACAUAUUGUUAGGCAUGAUAAUUCUAGAGCAAAUGACUUGGCACAACAAGCAUCUGGCUAUAAUGUGAAAAAGGGAUUAUUUCUGGUAUUAGAAGAGCCGGUGCUUGAUUUUAAAUCUUUGUGCAAAAUUGGUAAAACUGGAGACCAGGGGCGGUCUGACCAGCUGCUUGCCGUCGGUCUGACCGGCGAUCCCGAGCAGUCUGACCAGCCCUGUGUGGCCGGUCUGACCGGUUCUGGGCAGAGCACUGGGGGGCAUGUUUCAAUCAAUUUAGAGGCCGAAUUAAUUGUGAAUUUGGACGUUUGUGCCCAGGAAGCAGAACAAGAUUGGAGAAUUCCUUUGAUUCGAUAUUUGAAAGAUCCUACACUUAAGGUUGAUCGGAAAAUUCGGCGGCAAGCAUUCAAAUAUACAUUGCUUGAUGGAGAUUUGUAUCACCGAAAUAUAGAUGGUGUCUUGUUGAAGUGCUUAGAUGGAGAUCAAUCUAAAGUGGCUACGGGAGAGGUACAUGAAGGAAUUUGUGGAACUCAUCAAUCGGCCCACAAGAUGAAUUGGUUGCUUAGGAGAGUGGGGUUCUAUUGGCCGAAGAUGAUUGAUGAUUGCUCCAAAUUUUAUAGAGGAUGCGAGGCUUGUCAACGGUUCGGCAAUGUUCAAUUGGCGCCCGCCGCCGUGUUGAAUCCCAUAAUCAAACCAUGGCCGUUCCGAGGAUGGGCUUUGGAUUUCAUUGGUCAAAUUUAUCCUUCGUCAUCAAAGGGGCAUAGGUUCGUGCUAGUUGCUAUGGAUUACUUCACCAAGUGGGCCGAAGCCGUGCCUUUGAAGAAUAUGACUCAUACGGAGGAAAUUGACUUUAUUUUGAAGCAUAUUAUCCAUAGAUUCGGUAUUCCACAAACAUUAACUACGGACCAAGGUACUUCUUUUAUGUCUAAGGAAGUGAAGAGUUUUACCGAAUCUUAUGGUAUUAAAUUGUUGAGUUCUUCUCCUUACUACGCUCAGGCUAAUGGACAAGCCGAGUCGAGUAAUAAAACAUUGUUGAAGUUAGUGAAGAAGAAGAUUGAGGAAUACCCAAAGAGGUGGCAUGAGGUGCUUUCUGAAGCAUUGUGGGCGCAUAGGAUAUCUUAACAUGGUGCCACUAAAGUCAUUCCUUUUGAGUUGGUUUAUGGUCAGGAAGCCGUUUUACCGGUGGAGAUAAAUCUUGGUUCUCUUCGUUAUAUCAAGAAAGAUGAUUUGUCAAGUGAAGAUUACAAGACGUUGAUGGGAGACAACCUUGAUGAAGUCAUCGAGAAGCGCUUGAAGGCAUUGGAAGAGAUAGAGAAAGAGAAGAAGAGGGUGGCCAAGGCGUACAACAAUAGGGUGAAAGCAAAGUUGUUUCAAGUUGGAGACUUGGUUUGGAAGACAAUUUUGCCUUCGGGUACUCGAUCCAAGGAGUUCGGUAAGUGGUCUCCUAGUUGGGAGGGUCCUUAUCGAGUAUACGGCAUUGUUCGAGGGAACGCAUAUUUUUUGGAGACACUUCAAGGGGAGCGCUUUCAGCGAGCAAUCAACGGGAAAUACUUGAAGAAAUACUUCCCGAGCGUUUGGCAAGACGCUUAGGAGGUACUAUGGCCGGUAAUUAGAUUAUCGUCCUAAGACCAAAAUAUGUUCUAUGCUUUUAGAUUCACGUUGUUCAUCAAAAAAGCAGGGGGACAUGUGUUUACACCCAAAUUUGACAUCUAGGAUUAAAAUAGGAAAGAUUGCCAAAAUUUGGAAGUCUACCGGUUUCCUCCGAGUGGGCCGGUCUGACUGCCGUGUGUUGGCCGGUCAGACCGCCGGUUGAGGGCCGAUCAGACCGGUGGUGUGUGGCCGGUCUGACCGGCAGGUUCAAGUCCGACUGUGUUUCGUCGGGUCUCGAGGUUUCCUUGCUCAGGAAGGCAUGUUUCGGGUUUCCUUUGGUUUCUACCCCGAGUUGGACGUGGAGGAGGGCCUGUAGAGGGCAAGACCAACCCCUAUAUAAGGGACAUGGCCGGUUCAUUGUAAAAAACCAAUCUACAAUCAAUUAAUCAAAUCGUUUUUUCAUAUUGCUUUUAGUUUUCUCUUAGUUUGUCCAUCUUUGUCGGUUUGCGCCGUAAACCGUCCGCCGCCACUGCGAGAGUGCGACAUCUCUUUGUAGGUUUGUCCUGAAAACCUUCCGUUUUGCCCACGAGACGGGUAGUUAUCUAGAAAUCGGCUCCGUUAGCCGGUUUAGUUAUCAAAACGCAUCUAGGUUUAGCUCUUUGCUAGAUCGAGGUGGUUGGCGACUCUAGGAUCACCGCAAGGCUUAAGGUGUUGCGAUCGUGCUUGUCAACUUGUCAAAAAAGUUGCCAACAAAAACCAUGUGCUCACAACCCACCAUUACCAUGUUUUAGUUCGCAUCUUAAUAAACCAUCCUAUCACGAUUGACCAUCAUGAGCUACCAUUAAUCCAUCAUUAAGUAAUAGUGAAUCAUUAGUUAUCCCAUUCAUAUGAGCUAGCGUCUCUAAGCAUGGCUAAGCAUCCUAAUUACUUUAGCUAAAACCAUAUAAUGUUCUAGCUAAUCCAAUUAUUAACCGGGUGACAAAGUACAAGUAAUCAAUAACAAAAAGGCUAUAACAAAGGAAAUAGGUCAUUCCCACCCGAUGACAUAGUUGAAUCGAAACAAUAGCUAUAAACGGGAUCAACAUGCUCAAAGGGUUUUUUGGGAUCUAUGUGACUUGCCUUGCUGGCCUUGGAAUUCUUCAAAGUCUUCAAGACUAACCAUUCUGUCCUUUCCACACUUGAGUAGAUUCUUCAGAUAGUUCACUCUUGGGCGUUUAGGAUCAGGAUCAACAGCCCUUGUCUUGUACAGCCUCAAAGGAUUGCUUUAAGAACCAGGCUCAUCCUCAUUGCCACCAUCAUCUGACUCAGAUACAGCUGGAGAGGGAGAGCGGGGUGCAUCACGAAUGACAAUGCUACCAGCCCUCCUGGAAUGGAUCGGAAUCUGACUCCCACUGUAAAAAUCUCCAACUUUUUCUUUGCCCAAUCUUCCCCUAGGACCACGAACCGGGGGGCUCGAGUCAGCAGGAACAUCUUGAGAAAGCUUCUAUCUCUUCUCAUGAGGCAUAAUGACCACUGCAACAAGAAUCAACAAGGUUGGAGUGCAAUGGUUAAAAGAAACAGUAGCAGAAUCAAGGUUACUGGCUGAUUGGACAGAGACCGGAAGUUCCGGGCCAAGAACACCGAAACUUCCAGCCAGCAAAACUGAAGAACGGAGGAUUUAACCAGGCCAGUGCAUGUGACAAAAAAACCUAUCGAUCAGCAAUCUACAAGGUAGCAGGAACAAUUCUAUCCAAAAGGUUUUCUCCCUAGGUUCACAUAUUUAGAGAUCGGGGCAGAAACAUGAUGAACCAAAAGAGAAGAUCAAAAGUGCUACCUUGAGAGGGAAAAUCGCAAAUCGAUCACGGGAUGAACCUCCUAGCCACCAAUGUGGUUGAUUCCACGGAGAGGAAUCGAAUUUCCACGGUUGGAAGAGAAAAUCGCCGAGAGGAGCACUGUAGCGGCGGCUAGGGUUUGGGAAUCGGGGAGGAGAAGAAGUGAGGAGAGAGAUACCAGGCUUGGGCUCCCCCUGGGUAUUUAUACCCCCGACCCCCGGAAGUUCCGGUCAGUUCCGGACUGGGGUGACCGGAACUUCCGGCCUGACAGAACAGAGCGUAGUUAGGCGCAAGUUCAAUGGAAUAGAUGAGAAUUCAAUGAUUUGGAAAUGAAAACCUAUGGACAUAAAGAGACUUAUGAUGUAUAUGACCAGCCAACAAUCAACAUUACAGAACAAUGGUUAAUAUACAUCACAAGAAGGGAUAAAAACCAAAUUUUCGCAAUAAAAACACAUACAAAAUUUUUCACAAAAGGAUUUUUUUUUGGAUAAUAGAGGGAAUGUUUGAGCUUUAUUCCUGGUAUCAAGACCAUCUUCUACACAAGAAGUGAUCUCAAGACACAAAAGCUCAAUUUUUUUUAAUUUAAAUUUUAAUGACACAUGUUUGGCUAUGAAUUAGCCAACCACCCAUCACCUAAUGUUACGAGAGUCUAAGAUAUUGAGCUCACUCCUAAGCUCGCAAAACCUUUUCUCAUCUAAAGGCUUGGUGAAAAUGUCGGCUAAUUGGCUUUCAGUUCUCACAUGGGUAAGGCAUAUGUCCCCUUAGUCUCAUGAUCUCUCAAGAAGUGGUGGCGAAUGUCUAUGUGCUUGGUUCUUGAGUGUUGGACGGGAUUUUUGGCUAUUUUGAUGGCACUCUCAUUAUCACAUAGGAGUGGGAUCUUGGUGAAGUUGUAGCCAAAGUCUUUUAGGGUUUGUCUCAUCCAAAGAAGUUGGGCACAACAAGAACCGGCGGCAACAUAUUCGGCUUCGGUGGUGGAUAAGGCAAUGGAAUUUUGCUUCUUAGAGGACCAAGAAACAAGGGACCGCCCAAGGAAUUGACAAGUCCUGGUUGUACUUUUUCUAUCAACCUUACACCCGGCAUAAUCCGAAUCGGAAUAGCCCAAAAGCUCAAAGCCACAACCCUUAGGAUACCACAAGCCAAGAUUAGGAGUGUGAACUAAAUAUCUUAGAAUUCUCUUGACAGCAAUCAAAUGGCACUCUUUAGGCUCCGCUUGAAAAUGGGCACACAUGCAAACACUAAGCAUGAUGUCGGGAUGAGAUGCACAUAAGUAAAGCAAAGAUCCUAUCAUGGAGUGAUAUACCUUUUGGUCCACACAUUUACCAUUAUCGUCGAGGUCUAGGUGUCCAUUAGUAGGCAUGGGCGUCUUGAUAGGUUUGGCAUCCUCCAUCCCAAACUUCUUGAGUAUGUCUUUCACGUACUUGGUUUGAGAGAUGAAGGUGCCCUCUAGUGCUUGCUACACUUGUAGUCCGAGGAAGAAAGUCGAACUCGCCCAUCAUAGACAUCUCGAACCUUUUAGUCAUGAUUCUACUAAAUUCUUCACAAAAAGAGGCAUUAGUAGAACCAAAUAUUAUGUCAUCGACAUAAAUUUGGCAUAUGAAUAAAUCACUCUUAAAUUUUUUAGUGAAGAGAGUAGUAUCCGCCUUUCCAAUUUCAAAACCAUUUUUCAAAAGAAAAUCUCGGAGACAUUCAUACCAAGCUCUAGGGGCUUGUUUGAGCCCGUAGAGCGCCUUGUGGAGCUUGUACACAUGGUUUGGCAACUUUGGAUCCUCGAACCCCGGUGGUUGCUCCACAUAGACUAACUCCGAGAUAGGUCCAUUGAGAAAGUCACUUUUGACAUCCAUUUGGAAUAACCUAAAAUCAAGGUGAGCGGCAUAGGCUAAAAGAAUUCUAAUUGACUCAAGGCGAGCGACAGGUGCGAAGGUUUCACAAAAUUGAGACCCUCGACUUGGGUAAACCCUUGCGCAACUAACCGGGCUUUGUUCCUUACGACCACCCCAUGUUCAUCUUGCUUGUUGCGAAAGAUCCACUUGGUGCCGAUGACAUUUUGCUUGGGUCUCUCCACCAAAGUCCAUACUUGAUUGCGAGUGAAGUUAUUCAACUCCUCUUGCAUAGCCAUCACCCAAUCCGGAUCACCAAGCGCAUCUUCCACCCUGGUUGGUUCCAAAGAAGAGACAAACGAGAAGCGUUGACAAAAACUUGCGAUACGAGAGCGACUAGUUACCCCUUUUCUUAUGUCACCAAGUAUGUUGUCAACGGGAUGAUCUCUUUGGAUAGUGUGAUGUAUCCUUGAGGAUGGUGCACUGGGGGGACCUGAGCCUGAUCAGAAUGCUCUAAAGUGCCCUCAGCAUCGAUCCCAUCCACUUGUGCCGUUGGCACGUCUUCACUGCCAUUGAUCCGGAGGUUCCGGACUGUAGAACCCGGAACUUCCGGGCCUGGAGAUGUCCGGAGGUUCCGAUCAAUAGGACCCAGAACUUCUGGCUCAGCAGAUACAGCACUUGUAGGGCUAUUGGAUGUCGAUGACGGAGGUUGAUCCCUAUCUUCUUGGUCAUCCUGCGUCUCGACUGGUCGUAUGUCUCCAAUAGCCUUGGUACCUAUAGCUUGAUUUGGAUCCACAUCCCCUACAACAUGUACAACAACUUGCUCUCCUUGGGAGUCAUUAGAUUCAUCAAAUGUCACAUCCCUAGUGACUUCAACAAUACCAGAGGUUUUGUUGAAGACACGAUAGGCAUGUGCAUUUGAUUUAUAGCAAAGUAAGAAUCCCUCAUCCACCUUAGGUGAGAACUUAGAUGAGCGAGGCCUCUUACUUAAAAUAAAACAUUUGCUCCCAAAGACACGAAAAUAUGAAACAUUAGGCUUCUUACCACUCAAGAGCUCAUAUGAGGUUUUCUUUAGGAUCUUGUGGGGGUACAAGCGGUUGAUGGCAUGACAUGCGGUACUCACGGCUUCCGCCCAAAAGACAUCCAAAGUCUUGUACUCAUCAAGUAUUGCCCUUGCGGCUUCAAUGAGGGUUCGGUUCUUCCUCUCAACAAUGCCGUUUUGGGGAGGAUCAUAGGGGGCGGAGAACUCGUGCUUGAUUCCUUCUUCAUCAAGAAAUUCCUCCACUUGAGUGUUCUUGAUUCUCCUCCAUUGUCGCUUCGCACCCUCUUGAUAGUGAGAUCAUAGAGGUUUUGGGCUUGCUUUGCGAAGCGCUUGAAGACAUCUUGAGCUUCGCUUUUGUCAUGGAGAAAGUACACCCAAGUGAAGCGCGAAAAAUCAUCAACAAUGACAAAACCAUACUUGUUACCUCCAAUGCUUAUGUAGGCCACGGGCCCAAAUAAAUCCAUAUGAAGAAGCUCGAGUGGUCUUGUUGUAGUCAUGAUGUUUUUUAUAGGAUGUGGACUCCCAACUUGCUUCCCGGCUUGGCAAGCACUAAACACACGAUCUUUCUCAAAAGAAACAUUAGAUAGACCAAGAAUGUGUUCCCCUUUUAGAAGAGAUGCCAAAUUCCUCAUUCCAACAUGGACUAGCCUACGGUGCCAUAGCCAACCCAUAGAGGAUUUAGCAAUCAAGCAUGCCUCCGGAUUCACUCUAUUUACGUCGAAAUCAACGAGACAGAGAUCACCCUUUAACACUCCCUUGAAUGCUAUGCAAGAGUCAUCUCGCCUAAAAAUGGUCACAUCCACAUCGGUAAACAAGCAAUUAAAUCCUAACUUACACAAUUGAGACACGGAUAAUAAAUUGUAGCUUAAUGAAUUGACAAGGAGGACAUUAGAUAGAGAUUGAUUCUUGAAAAUGGCAAUCUUACCGAGGCCCAUUACAUUUCCUUUACCAUCAUCUCCAAUGACAAUAUUUUCACGACUUCCACCCUUCUCAUCAAGACUUGUAAACAUACUCCCCUCUCCCGUCAUAUGAUUGGUGCAGCCACUGUCCACAACCCAACUUGAGCCACCGGAGGAGUAUGCCUACAAAAGAAAUUAAGCUUGGGAUUUAGGAACCCAAACUUGUCUAAGUUUGGGUCCCUUGAUGUUAGUCACCAAAGCCUUUGGCACCCACACACAAGUGCGGUACUCAUCAUUGUAAUUCCCAUUAAAAUAAGCAACCACUUUGCCCUCUGAAUUUUUGGAAAUUACAUAUGAAUCAUAGUAAAGACCCUCUGGCCGGAACUUCCGGCCAGCCCCUUCGGCCUAUCAGAAGCCCGGAACUUCCUGACAAAAUGUCCGGAACUUCCUGUCUUACAGGGCAGGAACUUCCGGUCAUUUUGCCCGGAACUUCCGAGUGUCUGACCAGUGAGGGGACAAGUCACCUCACUUGCUUGUGGAGCUUUUCCUUCUCUUACAAACAUCAAGCAUUCUUUCCCAUUUACCAUCACACGCUUAGACACAGGACUUCCACCAGAAAACCCGAGCCCGUGUCUAUCCUUGUUAGGAUGAGCGGUGAUGGUCUUGUAAAGGGCAUCUUUUGAAUGGUAUGUCUUCAUGCAUCCAUAUCUCACCAAUGUGCCCAACCUUUCAUUCUCUUUCUUAAGAGCUUGCAUAGCAUCAACAUUAGUAGCAUGAGAGUUCAAAUCAAUAUUGUAACACCUAGCACAACCAUUGCUAGUAGAUGGGUUGGAAGAAUUAGAAACCACAUUUGGUUGAGAAGUGCUAUUCCAAAGAGUGUCAAAUUGAACUUCAAGAUCUUUAUGACUUUUGUCUAAACUAGCAAACUUCUCUUGAAGAGUUUCAUUGACAUCCCUAAGGCUAGCUAGAGAACCAUUAGCCAAAUUAAGCUCAUUAGCUAGUUGUUCAUUUUUAGCACAUUCUUUAGCUAGGCUCUCCUCUAAGGCAAGGUUUCUUUUCUUCUCAAGAAUAAGUAAUUCUUCUUGCCUUUCGAGAGAUUGUUUUUUACUAUCCAAAGCUCUCAUUAACUUAGCCAAAUGUUGCAUAGCGGGUUUGCUAAAGCUCUUAAGCACAUCAUCUAAUUCAUUAUCACUUUCCUCAUCACUAGAAUCAACAUCAAGAGAGGUGUGAGAGGGCUUUUGAGUCAUCACCUUGCAGCCUUGGGCCAUGAAACAAGAGUAGUGGUAGGAGUCCUCGUCGUCAUUACUCAAGUUGUUGAAGAGACGCUCCUUGCUUGAAGAGGAUGACUUGAAGGUGACGGUAGCAACACCACCUUCUCCUUCAACCUUGUCUUUUGGCUUGGGCUUGGGCUUGACCUCGAGAUCUUCUUCAUCUGCAGAGUACCACACCUCCGCCAUGUGUGCCUCUGCCACAUGAGCACGCUCCGGCUUCUUCUUGCCUCCCUUAGCCUUAGCUUCAUUUGACCUGGGACAAUCGGCAACGAAGUGGCCAUAUUCGUCACAAUUGAAGCAAGCUCUCUUUGAUUGCCUCUUUCCCUUAUCAUCAUACUUCCUCCCUUUGCCAUAGCCACUCUUGCGAAGAAAGUGCUUGAAUCUCUUGACAAUAAAAGCCAUUUCUUCAUCUUCACUUUCUUCACAACUUGACUCUUCUUCUUGUUUUACCUUCAAAGCUACUUCUUGAUUUUUGAUCAUGGCAGCAUUCUUCACCAUUUGCCUCACUUUACGAGCUUCCUCUUCUUGCAUCUCAUGAGACACAAUUCUUCCAAGAAUGUCAUUUGGGGUGAGCCUCUUGAAAUCUUUCCUUUCCCGUAUCAUUGAUACAAGAGUGGGAUUUCAUGGACCAAAAGCACAGAGAAGUCUCUUGACCACAAAGUGAUUUGUCAUGUCCUCACUCCCAAGUCCUUUAAUCUUGUUGACAAGGAACAUCAUCCUAUCAUACAUCUCUUCUGGUGUCUCCUUGUCAUCCAUCACAAAUCUUCCAAGCCUUUCUUCCAAUAAUUCAAUCUUGGCCUCACGAACGGCGGGUGAUCCCUCAUGAGUCAAUUGCAAAGUAUCUCAUAUCUCCUUGGCCUCCUCAAGCCCAUCAACCUUGUUGAACUCCUCCGGACUCAAGGCGGAGAGAAUUGCAUUGGAAGCUUGAGCAUUGCGGUGGAUGAGUUGCUCUUGCUCCGAAGUGAGCUCCAUGUCAUCACGGGGGUACAUCAACACCUGUACAAACAACAUUCCAAAUACUUGGAUGCAAAGAGAUUAGAUGCAACUUCAUCUUGUGCUUCCAAGUGGCAUAAUGUGUCCCAUCAAAUUGAGGAGCACGCCCGGAAGGCACGGAGACAAAGUUGUGAGGGGGAAUGGUAAGUUUACUGUAAUCAAAAGGUAUAGUAGCUCCCUUGGGUGAUGGAGUUUCCUUGCUGCUCGCUCCAUCUUCAUUUCCCAUUUCCCCGUUCUUUCCCCCUAAGUCCGACAUCGUGGAUCACUCAAAGCGGUGAAGCUUGAAUCAAGAGCACCUUGUUCUGAUACCAAUUGAAUGCGCUGAUGAAGCCUAGAGGGGGAGUGAAUAGGCUGUCCCUGAAAUCUUAAAAACAAAUCGCAUCGGUAAAAUUCAAACAGACUCGGAACUUCCUGGUAAGGAACUCCGGAACUUCCGACCUGCCAGGCCCGGAACUUCCGGUGUUCUAAGACAGGAACUUCCGGGUAACAAAACAGAGAUGAAAUUCAAAUUUCGAAACAGGAGACUAAGCCAAUCUUCACAAGAUGGUGCACAGGUAUUCUAAGCAGAGGAUAUAUCACAGAAUCAUUCACAGAAACAUCACCGAAAGAGACAAGAGCAAUUUUUUCCCGAAGUUCGGAUCUUGCGAUCCUACUCUCCGUUGAGGAGCUCCAAAAAGCUGGGUCUCGAUUAACCCCUUGCCUCACUUGUGCAAAAACCCUAGAGGAAAUCCAUAGCCUUCAACCCCAAACACUCCUAGGCAAAUUUCUAGAAUUGAGUGACCACCAAGAUCCAACUCAACCUACUUCCAGAAAUCCACCACAAGUGUGGGUUGCUCUACUUGGAAAGCCUCUAGAAUCUCAGCACAAGAACUUCACUAGCUUACCUCGUUCCCUUUCGGAGGAGAGGAAAUCCUUCACAAAUUUACCCAGGACAUCCACAAUAUGCAACGGAUUCUCGCGGGCGACACCUAACCGUCUAGGAGAUCAUCUCCAAGAGUAAUAAGCACCGAGAUGACAGCCCACGAGAUAUUCCAAGUGCUCCCCCAAGAUCCUAGUCUUCACACAUCUCCAAAUCUUCUUCUCUCCCUCUCAAUCUCUCUUUCUCACAAGAAUUAGGCUCUAGAUUGAUUGGAGAAGGCAAGAAACACUUGGGAGAGGCUAGCAAUAGCUCUAGGUUUGAAAAGUGAAAGUGGAAUGGCCAAGGAACGAGCUGGAAAUGAGCUGUAUAUGUAUAACGGCUAGGUGACGACAUCUAGCCGUUACUCACAAAUUUGAACUGGAAACAAGACAGGAAGUUCCGGACCUGGAAGACCGGAACUUCCGGACUACACUUAGGAAAAUCUUUUUCACAAGACCGGAACUUCCGGACCUGGAAGAUAGGAAGUUCCAAACUUGCAUUUUUGGACAGAUGGAGUAUUUGCAAAAAAAAAAGAACUCCUAGGGAAACUUGACACUUGGUUCACACUAAGAGCACUUGACAUAUCUCAGAGCAUCACCUAGAACCCCUCUUAAUAGUACGGUUUUUUCUAAAAACUCGAUUUCAGAAGGUAAACUAUCCUAUGCACUUCUCGAGUUCCGGUCCGCUUUGAUUUUGUACUUUUUGGGGGGUCUCCAAGCAUCCAUCUUCCACACCUUGGACUAAUGCACCUGAAAGCUACUCAAUGGGCUCAUUAGUCCCUUAACCACAUUUGUCAUUAAUCACCAAAACCCACUAGGAGGAUUAAUGCACUUUCAGGAUACAACGUACACCUGUGAGGUAUGCGUUGUUAACUACAGGACAAUGUGAUAUAUUGUUGUUAGACAAUGAUGAACCUACUACCUAUGAGAAAGCAAUGGUGGGACCAGACUCUGAGAAAUGGCUUGGAGCCAUGAAAUCCGAAAUAGAAUCCAUGCAUGUCAAUCAAGUUUGGAACUUGGUUGAUCUACCUGAUGGUGUAAAAGCCAUUGAGUGCAAAUGGGCCUUUAAGAAAAAGACAGAUGUAGAUGGAAAUGUUCACAUCUACAAGGCAUGAUUGGUGGCGAAAGGUUUCAGACAAAUUCAAGGUGUUGAUUAUGAUGAAACUUUCUCGCCAGUCGCCAUGCUAAAAUCUAUUCGAAUUGUUUUGGCGAUUGCUGCCUAUUUCGAUUAUGAGGUAUGGCAAAUGGAUGUCAAAACAACUUUCCUCAAUGGAAAUCUCGAUGAGGAUGUGUACAUGACACAACCCAAGGGUUUUGUUUAUCCACAAUCAGCUAAAAAGAUAUGCAAAUUGCAGAAAUCCAUUUAUGGGUUGAAGCACGCAUCUCGUAGUUGGAAUAUUCGUUUUGACGAAGUAGUCAAGGCGUUGGGCUUUGUCAAAAACGAAGAAGAGCCUUGUGUAUAUAAGAAGAUUAGUGGGAGCGAACUGGUGUUUCUAAUCCUAUAUGUAGAUGACAUAUUAUUGAUUGGGAACGAUAUUCCUAUGCUUGAAUCCGUUAAGACAUCGUUGAAAAAUAGUUUUUCAAUGAAGGACUUAGGGGAAGCAGCAUAUAUUCUCGGCAUAAGGAUCUAUAGAGAUAGAUCAAAGAGGCUAAUUGGAUUAAGCCAGAGUACAUACAUUGACAAGGUGUUGAAGAGGUUCAACAUGCAAGAUUCUAAGAAAGGUUUCUUACCGAUGUCACAUUGCAUUAAUCUUGGCAAGAAUCAGUGUCCUCAAACGACUGAUGAGCGAAACAAGAUGAGUGUGAUUCCAUAUGCCUCGGCAAUUGGAUCCAUCAUGUAUGCUAUGCUAUGUACACGUCCAGAUGUUUCAUAUGCAGUUAGUGCAACAAGCCGAUACCAAUCAGAUCCAGGUGAGAGUCACUGGAUAGCUGUAAAGAAUAUCCUGAAGUACUUGAGAAGAACUAAGGAUAUGUUCCUAGUCUAUGGAGGACAGGAAGAGCUCAUUGUAAAUGGAUACACCGACGCAAGCUUCCAAACCGACAAAGAUGAUUUUAGAUCGCAGUCUGUAUUUGUGUUCUGCCUGAAUGGAGGCACUGUGAGUUAGAAGAGUUGCAAGCAAUAUACAGUGGCUGAUUCUACAACAGAAGCUGAAUACAUUGCCGCUUCUGAAGCAGCAAAGGAGGCUGUUUGGAUAAAGAAAUUCGUUUCUCAACUAGGUGUGAUGACUAGUGCUUCUAGCCCUAUGGACCACUAUUGCGAUAAUAGUGGUGCCAUUGCGCAAGCCAAGGAGCCUAGAUUGCAUCAAAAGUCCAAACACAUUUUACGGCGGUAUCACCUCAUUCGCGAGAUAGUGGAUAGAGGAGAUGUGAAGAUAUGCAAAAUACAUACGGAUUUAAAUGUUGCAGAUUCGUUGACAAAGCCACUCCCUCAGCCUAAGCAUGAGGCACACACUAGGGUAAUGGGUAUAAGAUGCGUUCAUGAUUGACAAUAGUGCAAGUGGGAGACUGUUAGUGAUAUGCCCUAGAGGCAAUCAUAGAGAUGAUUGUAUCACAUACUAUGUUUACAUAUUUAUCCGACAUUGUUCCUUAAAAUAGAUAACUCCUUAUUGGUGAAUUAAUAUGUGAUUCUUUCAAGAGACUCUUUAUGUUGUUUGUUACUAUUUCUAAAGGAUCCCUGAUCAAAUAUCAUAUGUGCAACAAAUAUGUUUAUAUGAUCAGCACAUGUAUUAAUUGAUGAUCAUGUCUCAUGGAUCAUGGUAUAGAGAUACCAAAUUAAUAAUGUGGACACAUGUUGGUGAACAUGUUGUUGGAUAGACCCAACAUGAGACACUGCAAGAGCCAUGUGUUGUGUCAUCAGUGAUCUCAUUUAGUGUUGGUGUUGAAUCCUUAGACCUGAGAUUAUCAUGGUUUUCAACAUGUGUAGUAGCUUACUUAGGGACUGCUAAACGCUACUCCGUAAAUGGGUAGCUAUAAAAGUAGUUUUCGGGUAUGCUAUGAAACAUGUAAUGGGAUAUGAAUAAUCAAGAUGGGAUUUGCCCCUCCUAUGGAGAGAUAUCUCUGGGCCCCUCGAUGUUGCAGAUUAUGGAAGUGCAUGGCCAUGCCAACGGUGAUUGAGGAGUUAUAUAAUCUAUCAACAAGUUCGAUUGAAUGUUUGAGCUAUUAGAGGAUGGCACAUAUCUAGCCUUGAGCUUAAUCGAUAUCGUGAGGCAAAGUGGUUCAUACAAGUAAACACUAGAGGUUCAGCCGAUAUGAUAUUUAUGUAUGCCCGGUGGGUCAAUACGUUCUGCUAGGAGCCGCCGUUGACGCGUGGACCGAAAAGGAGUUUUCGGGUUACAGCUGAGUAUAUAUGAACCUACAGGGUCGCACGCUUAAUGGGCCGGAAUAAGGGGAUUGGAUAGAGAUCCAAUAUGAGCUUAAUUUGGAUAGGGAUCCGAAUAGGAGUCCUACGGGCCUUGGAGGCCCGAGUGAUGGAUCCUAUAUAUUCGUGAGGGGUGUGACCGGCUGAGGCAUUGCAUCACAUGAGAAACCCUAGCCGUCAGUUCCCUCCCCGAGCAAAACCCUAGCCGCGCGCGGGUGCUAGCACAUCUGCGCGUGGCAUUCCGUCCCUGUACGUGUGGAUACCAGUAGAGGCGCCGCUGGUUUGCGGUGCUGAUCGGCGUGGGUGUACGGCGAGGAGAACGCACGUGGAGGAGAAGGUCGAGCCGGUGCGAUUGACUACCUCCUCUACAUCGACGCGCGCUACUUCGCGAGAGUUCCUUCGACUUCUUAGCGUCUUCUUCUGCUACACAGCUCGUCGAGUGGUAACGAUCUAUGAUCUAAUACUUGCAUGGUUCCUGGUUUACGCGAUAGAAAAUUUUGAUUUAUGCUAUCGUAGCCUACGCGUAUCCCAACAACUGGCUCCCUCGAUCGGAUACUAUUUUCUUAGGAACACCAUGCAAACACAUAAUCCUUGCCAUAUAUAAUUUUGCCAAACUAUUUUCGGAAUAUGUUGUCCUCACAGGGAUGAAAUGAGCAACUUUGGUAAGCCUGUCGACUACCACCCAAAUAGAAUCAUGGCCAGAUGACAUUCUGGGCAGACCAGUGAUGAAAUCCAUCCCAAUUUCCUCCCACUUCCAUUCUGGUAUCUUUAAAGGCUGCAGCAAACCUGCGGGUUUCUAAUGUUCUGCCUUGACUCGCUGACAUACAUCACACACAGCUACAUACUCUGCUAUCUCACGCUUCAUAAUUGCCCACCAAAAUUUCUCCUUGAGAUCUUGGUACAUCUUGGUACUACCAGGGUGAAUGGAGUAUAAAGUGUCAUGAGCUUCCUUCAGGAUUGUAUCCUUCAACUCCUUGUUGUCUGGGACACAAAUUCUCUCGCCCAACCAUAUAGUUCCUUGCUCAUCUUCCAAAUAACCGAUAGUCUUUCCUCUUCUCAUAUACUUCUUGAGAUCUUGGAUAUCAGGAUCAUUGGUUUGAGCCUUUCUAACCUGAUCAAUAAGAGUGGGCUUCGCUUCUAAAGCUGCAACGAAAUCUCUACUGACAAUUCCCAAAUUCAGUCUUUCAAAUUCCUUGCAUAACUCCCACGGCAACUGUCGUCCUUCCGUAGCAUUGCAAUAGCCUUUCCUGCUGAGAGCAUCUGCUACAACGUUAGCCUUUCCCAGGUGGUAAUGAAUUCCCAUGUCAUAAUCCUUAAUUAAUUCCAACCAUCUCCGCUGCCUCAUGUUCAGAUCUGGCUGGGUGAAGAUAUACUUCAAACUCUUGUGAUCCGUGUACACCUCCGUACGAGUACCAAAGAGGUAGUGACGCCAAAUCUUCAAGGCAUGAACCACUGCAGCUAACUCAAGAUCAUGAGUAGGGUAAUUCAUCUCAUGAGGACGUAACUGACAAGAUGCAUAGGCAACCACCUUCCCAUCUUGCAUCAGAACACAACCUAACCCAAGCUUAGAUGCAUCGCAAUACACUUGGAAACCCUUCUUUGGAUCAGGCAAAAUCAUAAUGGGUGCUGAUAUUAUGUGACUUUUCAACUCUUGAAAACUCUGCUCACAUUCUUCUGACAACUUGUACUUCACGUCUUUCUGAAGCAGGCGUGUCAUGGGCUUAGCAAUCUUGGAAAAAUUCUCUAUGAACCUCCGGUAAUAGCCUGCAAGACCUAGGAAACUACGAAUCUCUAAAACUGUCUUCGGUUGUUUCCAAUUGGUUACAGAUUCCGCAUUACUAGGGUCAACGACAACUCCUCCAGCUGAGAUGACGUGCCCAAGAAACUUUACUUCAGACAACCAAAAUUCGCAUUUGCUAAACUUGGCAUAAAGCUGAUAUUCUCGUAACUUCUCUAAUGCAAGACGAAGUUGUUCUUCAUGCUCUUCUUUGGUUCGGGAGUAAAUAAGAAUGUCAUCAAUUAAGACCACAACGAACUUGUCCAGUUAUUCCAUAAACACCUUAUUCAUCAAGUUCAUGAUGAAAGCAGGGGCAUUGGUAAGUCCGAAAGACAUGACAGUACAUUCAAACAACCCAUACCGAGUGGUAAAAGCCGUCUUAGGUAUAUCUUCCUUUUUAAUCCUCGACUGGUGAUACCUUGAUCGAAGAUCGAUCUUGGAGAAAACAGUGGCACCUUUAAGCUGGUCAAACAAAUCUUCAAUUCUAGGCAGCGGGUACUUAUUCGUGAUGGUCACAUCAUUCAGUGCACAAUAAUCCACACACAUCCUCUGGGUAUGAUCUUUCUUCUCCACAAAAAUGACUGGAGCUCCCCAUGGAGAUGAACUUGGUCUAAUGUAUCCUUUCUGAAGCAAAUCAUCUACUUGUCUCUUGACCUCUGCUAAUUCAUUGGUUGCCAUUCUAUAAGGUCUCUUAUGGAUUGGGGUUGUCCCUGGUACCAGAUCUAUUCUGAAUUCUAUAUCUCUCUUAGGCGGCAUACCAGGUAAAUCAUCCGGGAACACAUCUAGGUAGUCCCGUACUAUGGGAAUCUCUUCCAAAGUUAUUUGGUUCAAACUUGACCUUAAAGGUUCAGAAGGCAAUGCAUGAACAGUUACAACUUGACCAUCAUUGCUGGUGAGAGUUUCUUUUCUAUUGGCACAAUCUAUCACACCUUUAUAUCUGGCUAACCAGUCCAUCCCUAGGAUGAAUCAAGGUCUUUAGAUUCUAACAAAAUAAGGUUGGUCAGAAAUGGAACACCUUGAAUCUCUAUUCUGACAGAAGGGCUACGUUGUGAUGAGAGUGCUUGGUUACUGGGGGUACUAACCAUCAAAGGACAUCUAAGAUCUUCUAUCUCCAUCCCAUGAUUUCCCACAAAACUCAUAGAUAAAAAGGAAUGUGUAGCACCAGAAUGGAAAAGCACUGUUGCAGGAACUGAGUUAACAGGAAACAUACCCAAAAUCACAUCUGGAGCACCUUUGGCUUCUACAGCAGCAACAUGAUUGACACGAGCCUUUGACGCUGGUGCAUUGGAGUUAUUCUGCACAGGAACAAUCUUCACACGUCGAGGCUUCAGAUACUUGUCAGAAUAAUGACCUGGUUCACCAUAGUUGAAACACACCCCUGGCUUGUUUCCUUGCUCCCUCUUGACAGGCGGGUGCUGGACUGGAGUUGCAACAGGACGUGGAGCUUGGUUGCGGUUGUUAUUGCCAGCAUUGUUGUUGUAGAACUGACGCUGUGGACAAACAACAGAUGAAGAUCCUCCCUGUGACACUACCUGAGGUCCCAUAGUGAGACACGGCCUCUGACUAUUCCCUUGCUGAGCUUUGAACUGAGCAAUCCUGAGUUUCUUCUGUUCCAUUCGGUUGUACUUAUCCUCCUGACGAAUGGCCUUAUCCACCAACUUUUGGAAAUCAGAAUAAUCCCCAGUCAUUAGCGGGUAAGAAAGCUCAUCAUUCAGUCCUUCUAAGAAAUUCUCUUGACGCUCUUCAUCUGUGCGCACAUCCUCCGGAGCAUAACGGGCCAGACGAUUGAACUCAUGCAUGUACUCGGUGACAGAACAGGAUCCCUGAGUGAGCGCCCUGAACUCCUUCUUCUUGAGAGACACCACUCCCGAUGGUACACGAGUCUUCCUGAAAGCAGCAGUGAACUCAAGCCAAGUGAUUGGUUCAGCAGUAGCCUUGUUGAGACAGAAGUGAUCCCACUACUCAAAGGCAGGGCCAUGAAGCUGAUAUGAAGCAAAGGAGACUUUUUCUUAGUUAGUGCACUGAAGCAGGUCCAACUUCUUUUCUAUGGCGUGUAGCCAAUCACCAGUCUCAACUGGAUUGGUAGUACUGGAAAAAGUGGGCGGCCUCAUACGAAGAAAUUCUGCUAACUUGUUCUGGGGAGGAGCAUGAUUGUUCCCCUGGUUCUGUUGGUUCUGGAGUUGUUGCAUCAUCAUGUUCAUGAGUUGCGCCUGUUGAGCUAGGACUUGGGCAAGCGUGGGAUUCUCUCCAUUGUUGUUGUUGUUGUUGUUGGGCCCAUUUCCAUUGCUGCGGGUGUUCACCAUCUGGCAUAGGCAAGAGCACAAGAAGAGAAACAAGGGGGAAAGCUACUUAGGACAGAGAAUUAAUUUCUACUAACUUGACUUUUAUUGAUCUUAACUGAGUUUCAUUAUUACAUAAAACUGAAGACUCUCACACCACUUAACUCAAACUUCCUAACACUCGAAACCAAACAAACGCAUGCAUUUACAUCCCACCAAUGAUGUAAACCUCAUGCAAGACCCACACAUAGCCAAACUUAAACAAGCAAACUAACACAACGAACUAAGUCAACGACUUAACAAGACAUGUAGUUCUUCCUGGCAUCGGAGUUGAUUGAAGGCUCGUUCGGCUCGUUCUCAUCAUCUUGAGUAGCACCCCACUCAACCUUUGAAUGGGUGCGCUUUGAAUCUUCUUCCUCCUCAUCACUUAAAUUAACGACCGGAGGAUCCACUGGGACUAGGACAGCUUCUCUUGCCACCACACGAACCUUGGGCACCAACUGGUAGCAGGGAACAAAAAGAGCUCUCUUCCUUGCAGUAAGAUGAACCCUGGCCUUCUGUGGUGGCGCUUCUCCCUUCAAUUCGGCCAGUUCCUUCUCUAGACGAUCAACCUUGUCCUCUAGCUUGCAAAUCUUACCACGGUUCCAAUCUUCACGAGCUUGAGCAGCUGACACAACUUCAGCGCGGGACUCAUCCAUGGCCCACAGCAUCUCGACCAAAUGUCUUAUGGUAGCAUCAUUCUCAAUUCCUUCAGGAUCAACAUAGCUGGCACGGUCACUUCCCUGGGGCUGACGAGGAUGGCAACGAUACUCAGUGUCGGCCAACAGAUCAUUGUAACGGUCGCGGAGCUCUCCUAUGGCGAUCCUUGCCGCCUCCUGACAAGCAUAAGGAUAGCUUCCCCCUCUAGCCUCGAACAUCAUCGAUGGGAUGUCUUCACGAUCACUGUUCAAGGUGACCAUGACACGGCACUUCUCUUCAUCACGAUCAUGAGGAAUCUGGGCAUACAAAGGGGCAGUCUCGAAUCCUAUGGUAAAGGACAUCGUACGCAGCUCCUGGACAAAUCCCUCAAUACCGAACAAGUACUCAGGCUUGAAGCGUGGCAUCUAAAGACAAGUGAAAGGAGGGAGUUAAGACAUUUCUCCAAUUAAUAGCACAAGGUUUUGGAUUAAAUUGAAUAAAGUUAGAAAAUCGAAGUGAAAGGUAAAUAAAGUAAACUAAGAUAAGUUGGAACUGUUGAAAACAGGAUCACAAAUUUUUGCACUUUUGAAUAACAGGUUUAAAAAAAGCUAAAAUAAAAGAGAGUUAUAAAAUCAACAUGCUAAGUUUAUUAUAUUGCAACAUGAUUAAAUAAAAAUAAUGUUGUAAAACCUUUGCUGGUAAAUGGGUCAUUAGUACAGUAAUAGAUGUACAGUACUAACAACACAGGAAUAAUAAGUAAAUUUUUAAUGAGAACAAUUAAAGAGACUAUAAUCUGCAUGUGCCAUUAGCUUGGUUUAAUUAAAAGAGAAAGAGAGAAGAACAGUUCUACUUUUUUAAUAUUUUUAGAGGGCUUCUAUAGGUAACCAUUUGGCAUAACCUAGGGUCAAGGAGGCUCUGAUACCAACUUGUCACGCCCAGAAUUUCUAUCCAAAACUCCAAACACUUACAUGUGUGAAAACCCUCGUCCAGGAAUCAGUCGAGGCAUACAAUAACAAAUUGAUAAUAGAGUGCAAUUAUUACUCUAAUUAAUAGACGGAUAUAAAUUCAUUACAGAGAUAGAUAGUUCCUCUCAAACAAUAAAGAUCUAAGCAGCGGAAAAUAAAAUAAAGAGCGUAGGCGACUCCAUCCCACAAGCAGCUUGACCAGGGCUACGCCUAAUCCUCCACACCUUCAGCCUCACUAUAGAACUCCUCUGAUGAAUGGUUGCAAGGUGAGUAUAUGACAUACUCAAUAAGCCAUGCAGCAAAUAUGCAAGUGCAGGGGAUAACAAAGGAUGGCAUAAUAUAGUCUCAUUUGCAUAAAUGGCAAUCAAUAAAUACUUCAGAAUUUAGAAAAACAGUAAAGCAUUUAAUUAAACAAUAUUAAUCCAACUCUAUACAACAUACCCGUUGCAUAGGCCCAACCAUUCUGAACAACCAUUCCCGGCUGCACAGUUCUAUCUCCAAACCAGGAAUAUACCAUUCCAAACCAGGAGCUAAACAAGUUAUUACCAAUUACAGCAUCAUUUAUUAUGGUGAGAGGUGUGAGACUAAUCACAAAAGACAUUGUUAGACCCGCCCAUAACCGCGGGCACGGCUAUUCGAAUAGUUUUACUCUGGCCAGAGGUGUACCACUGUACCCACAAGACACAACCUCAACAUCAUGUCAACCAUGCGUCGCGAUACUUAACAAGAACUCGAAUAGAGAUUGUGAAUAGAGAUUGUGACAAUACCCUCCGCAAAACACAAUUCAAAGCAGUGCACCUUUCCUGGAUCAUAAUCACCCCCUUAUAAAACAAGGCAUGGACUCCCCAGCGACCCCCGUGGGCUUAUCUCUGCCACUUCUCAGUCUGGUUCAACACAAUGAACCACACUAUACAAAAGGUAAAGCCGUUGCCCACGCUGGCUUGUGGUUGGCACGGUUAAUGUUUCACAACCAAAAAUCGUGAACCGGUCCUUAAUUGUCAUGAGCACGACCAUCAAAACCAUGUGCUCACAACCCACCAUUACCAUGUUUUAGUUGGCAUCUUAAUAAACCAUCCUAUCACGAUUGACCAUCAUGAGCUACCAUUAAUCGAUCAUUAAGUAAUAGUGAAUCAUUAGUUAUCCCAUUCAUAUGAGCUAGUGUCUCUAACCAUGGCUAAGCAUCCUAAUUACUUUAGCUAAAACCAUAUAAUGUUCUUGCUAAUCAAAUUUGUCGACGUUUGAUGUCGCAAUUCUGGUAUUUGCAUAGUAUGGCGAUCGUCGGUGCUAGGAUACAUGCGAGACUGAGGUAAUAACCCUACAUCCUGUAUUGUCAGGUAAUAACCCUACAUCCUGUAUUGUCAGGUAAUAACCCUACAUCCUGUUUGGGGUAGCCUAUCUAACUGUUGUCGACAUGGCGGUCUGACUCGUAGUCGACAACAGGGUAGCCUUCUCCUCGAAUCCGUGCCCGGCAAGAUCAGAGAUAGCGCUUUCGUCUCUCCUGACAGUAUCCGGAGACACCGUAGGGUACUAGCCGUGCUUAUCCCUGAAGUCGAUAUCCGGCGGCGUGUCUUGGCGUAUGUAGGCUUCCAUGUUGUGGCUUCUAUGUCGAUUGUGUUGAGUGUUGAUCCUCUAUGGUGGGUGCCGAUCGUGUUGAUCGUCUCCUCUCCCCUCUCCUCCUAGGGGGGCUUGUAUUUAUACCCAUAGGUAUCCCCUUGUCCAAGUAGAACUAGUGAAACCAAUAUGGAUACAAUCCGAGUAGUCCUUAUCGUUUCCAUGUAGAACUCUGGUUGUCAUUCCUUAUCCGGAACUCCUCCUAUAUCCGAAGGUGCUUCCGUAUAGGAUAUGGUAUAUAGUGGGUCCUGCCGAGAUUUAGUCAACUACUAUUAAGUAUGUGGUAUCCAUAACCCUGACAGUAGCCCCCGACUUCGAUGCAAAUGAACGAGUUCAUAUUCUCAACCGCAGACUUUGGAGGAACUGUUAUCGAGCUCAUGUGACCGUUCUCGGUGAGUUUAGAGAUAACGUUAGACUUCCUCUAUCAGCCUCGUGCGGGCACCGAAAGGGUUUGUCUAAGUCAAUCUCUGAUGUCGACCGAGAAAGUACAGAGCGUACAACUAAGUCUCCCGUCUUGCUGUAAUCGAGAAUUUGGAUUGAAGUCAAGAAAUUUUAUCUCGGCGGGUACACCAUCUCUUCAUUCCGUAUUCCUCAACAAUACUUAGAAAAGAAUAGAAUUUUCCUGAAAUCAAUACUCAGAAAAGAAUAUUAGAUAGAAAUAACCCCUGAGCGAAUGCUCAAAGGGUGACAUGUUAUAAAAUGACAGACUAGUGAAUUGAAUGUACAGACCAGUGUUUUGUAUAUGAGCGUCUUCUCUCUUACCGACUCCGAUCAGUCAGUUUGCAGAGUCAUACACUCUCCCUAGCCCCCAGCCUUGUCGUCGGAGAAUCGUUCUCGGAUGACAAGGCUCUUGGACCUUUGACCUGCCUCGGUUGAACAAGCACUGAUCCUAGCCCCCAGCCAUGAAGUUGGAAAACUCAAUUUCCAAUUACACGGCUUGGUUAAUACGCACGGCGAGAACUCUUACACGACCAGAUCUUACGUGGUCUUUCGUCUCUGAAGGAUCAAACAAGGCCUUAUCGGCUCUGGGCGUCCCCAGCCGAAGUUCCCUUAGGUUCCUCGGAGGCCUUGUCAUGACGGCGUAAAGGGACAAUAUGAUAGGUUUCAACGCUAGGUGUCUUUUGUGGUAAGGGAUCUCUGGGUAAAACACUUGGCGAUCUUGUGUACCUGAUAUCAACUUUGUUGGAGUACAGGUAAUGGGAGAAUCGCUACACCGCUGGUCGAGGACCAGGCAGUGGUCGUAACUCGACCACUUAAAGUGGAAGUAGUGGGAGAAUCGCUACACCGCUGGUCGAGGACCAGGCAGUAGUCGUAACUCGACCACUAGAAGUGGAAAUAGUGGGAGAAUCGCUACACAGCUGGUCAAGAACCAAGCAGUAGUCGUAACUCAACCACUGUAAGUAAAUGUACGAGAGAUCGCUACGAUUGACUGGUUGAGAACCAGUGAGUAGGUGUCUCUCGAUCAUUUGAAUUCAUGGUGCUAGGACCGUUGCGCUAUUGCUGUAGUCGUACCUCGACCAUCUAAGGUUGCGGUGCGAGAGAUUGCUACGUACUGGUUCGAGGACCAGCGAACACGCAGAAUCAUCUCUCAACACCAAUGGAGGUUGCGGUGCGAGAGAUUGCUACGUACUGGUUCGAGGACCAGCGAACGUGUAGAAUUAUCUCUCGAACACCGAUGGAAGCUUGCGGUGCGAGAGAUUACUAUGUACUGGUUCGAGGACCAGCGAACGUGUAGAAUGAUCUCUCGCACACCAAUGGAAGUGCUAGAGUUGGUUUAUUAUGUGCGUCUCAUGUGACCAGGAUGACUCAUGCACCCAACUUGUAGCAUAUCCGGAUGUCCGUUCACAAUCAUGUCAGGUGAUCAAGCCGACGACGUUCGCGAGGAAUUAUCCGUUAACAACCUUUUCUCGAGUAGUCCAGCGAUGGCCAAUGCUAUGAGAUAGGUCGUCGGUCUUCGUUGGUAGGUUGGGCGCGACGACUCUGCAUUUGUCGAGAUCGUUCUCGAUAAUGUGGUGUACUCGACCACAACUUACUCGAGUGCUCAAUUGUUCCUGAAAAAUAUUUUCUAGAAGGCAGGAUAUAUAGCAGAGAAUAUCGAGUAUGUACUCAAAAAACUGCAUGGAUCUUCUAGUAUUAUCAGGAUAUAACGAGCAGAUGUAAAUGUCAGGGCAUUAUGUAAACCGUAAACAAGCAUGAUUUAUACAGAAGAAGACAGAGCAAGCCCCCAGCGUUAGAUCGUAGUCGAUUUAACAUCGGGGACACCCGCGCAACCGAUAUUAUUGUAUAAAGAACAUGCUCUAGGUAAACAUAAUAAAUCAUGGAUCUGACAAUGCUGUAUGAUCUGAAUAGGUACGAUAAAUUGCAGAUAAAAUAUUGCGUACCUUUGUAGAUACAUGCCGGAUGUAUCUACGAAAUUAGUAGAUCAAUUUGAAAAACCAAUCUACCAAUUACCUUAUUGUGUACUCGUUCGACAUCAUAUGAUCUGACAUCUUUUGGUACGCUGCGUAUCUUGAGGCUUGGAUGAUCUCGAUAGACCAAGUUGUCAAUGACGAUGAUGGUCCUGAUCUAGUCGGAAGAUGUACUUGGACAAGUUGGAUCUCCCCACAGCCGAAGUCAUCGAGUAGCUUGUUGUUGGAGAAUCCAUCUUUUGAACCCAUCUCGUCAAAAUCCUGAAGCACCAAAAUCCCCCUACCUAGCGCGCCACUGUCGACGUUUGAUGUCGCAAUUCUGGUAUUUGCAUAGUAUGGGGAUCGUCGGUGCUAGGAUAUAUGCGAGACUGAGGUAAAAGAGAUGGAGACAGGGAUUUUUAUACAGGUUCGGGCCCCUAAAUUGUCAGGUAAUAACCCUACAUCCUGUUGGCCGAAGCCGGUAUUGCUCUUAUUCAUGAUAAUCACACCAGUACAAUAUUUAGGGUAGCCUAUCUAACUGUUGUCGACAUGGCGGUCUGACUCAUAGUCGACAAUAGGGUAGCCUUUCUCCUCGCAUCCGUGCCUGGCAAGAUCAGAGAUAGCGCUUUCGUCUCUCUUGACAGUAUUCGGAAGUCGUGCUUAUCCCUGAAGUCGAUAUCCGGCGGCGUGUCUUGGCGUAUGUAGGCUUCCAUGUUGUGGCUUCUAUGUCGAUUGUGUUGAGUGUUGAUCCUCCAUGGUGGGUGCCGAUCGUGUUGAUCGUCUCCUCUCCCCUCUCCUCCUAAGGGGGCUUGUAUUUAUACUCAUUGGUGUCCCCUUGUCCAAGUAGAACUAGGGAAACCAAUAUGGAUACAAUCCGAGUAGUCCUUCUCGUUUUCAUGUAGAACUCUGGUUGUCUUUCCUUAUCCGGAACUCCUCAUAUAUCCGAAGGUUGCUUCCGUAUAGGAUAUGGUAUGUAGUGGGUCCUGCUGAGAUUUAGUCAACUACUAUUAGGUAUGUGGUAACCAUAACCCUGACACAAUUAUUAACCAGGUGACAAAGUAUUGGUAAUCAAUAACAAAAUGACUAUAACAAAGGAAAUAGUUCAUUCCCACCCGAUGUAUUCAAAAAUAAAUGCAAUAGUUGAAUAGAAACAAUAGAUUUAAACAGGAUUAACAUGCUCCAAGGGUUGUUUGGGAUCUGUGUGACUUGCCUUGCUGGCCUUGGAAUUCUUCAAAGUCUUCUCCUACAAAAUCGGACUCUCCGAGAACGUCGGAAUCUAAGCAUAAAAGAGUAAAAUCACCAAAACAGUACACAAACAAUCAUAAACAGCACAUGUGGAUAUUUUUAACAUGUAGAUCUCAAUUUUAGAACAAUUUAGAGACUUGAACCAACAAAAUCCGAGCUAAGAUGAAUUAGUUAUGAAUUUUUAAAGAUUAAAUCGGAUUAAAUCAUUUAUAUAGAUUUUAAUUGGAUUAUGAUGCAAUAAAGAAUUAUUUUUGAAACGGAAAAAGGAUUUAUUGCGUCAGCGGGGCUCGGGUUCAUGGUGGACCGAGUGGACAGAAGCGGUCUACGGAACGAACGGCUGAGAUCUAAUCUAAACAAAACGAACGGCCGAGAUCUAACCGACCUACCAUGGGUCUACGGCUGACGUGGCGCGGACGUCGACGAUGACGUCAUUGCCGACGGCGGCUCGGCACCACUUGCUUGCCGGCGAACGACGGCGCGGCGGCGCAAACGAACAACACCUAUAGGUAGAGGGUGAAGUGGCGAACUCACCGAGGGCUCGGACGAUGACGGACGACAAACGACGGCGACGGCGGCGAGGGCGAGGCAGCGAAGAUGUUCGGGUCGACGACAACGGCGAUGCUCCGGCGAUCUUUGGUGGAAACGGAGUACGGGACGAGGACGGCGACGACUUGGUGAUCCCGACGGCGACCUUCCCGAGCGACGACGACGACCAGAGCGGCGGCGGCGCACGGCUGGACUUGCGGCGGCGACGACGGCGCACGGGCUGACGUGGAGGCGGCGCUACAAGCGACGGCGGGCUAGGGUGAAGGUGGCGGCGAACAGAGGAGGUCCUGAGGAUCCUUUUAUAGGUGCUAGGGGGCGGCAGCUAGGCCCAUGGCGUCCGGCGGAGGCUUGUGCGUGGCUAGGGCGCGGCUGGCGGCGGGAGAUGGAAGACGACCCCGACAGGUGGGCCCCACCCGCCAGCGGGAGAGAAGAGGGAGAGAGGGCGGAUUGGCUUGAUGGGCCGGCUUGGGCCGAGCGCGAGCAGGCCGGAGAGAAAGAGAGACUUGGGCUAACUCUCGGCCCAAAACCAAAAGAAGGAUUUUUAAACCUUUUUCCUUUUAAAUUAUUCAUGAAAUGCAAUUCCAUUUAUUAUAGUUACUUUCUUGGCUCAAAUAAAUCCUAGAAAAAUCUAGGAACUAAUCAAGUGAAGUAUUUGAUAAAAUUUUAUCUAGCCCACUUUUAUAUUUGAAUUUAUUACUUAAAAUUAGAUCUUUUCUUCUAGGCUUUUAAAAUCAUUUCUAAUAAUUCCAUUUAAACAACAAUUUAUAAAUUUGGGAUUUUUACGGUGUGACAUCUAAGCUAGGUGGAAAGAAAAGAGAAAGAGAAUCUAUUCCUAUACUUCUAAUACACAUAGUAUACAUACAUUCUAGUUAACUGAUAUACUAGCUAAUACCCUCUAUCCGAUGCCCUCCUGGUACUUCGAGAAACCACCCCUGACUGCCGAGUUCCUUACGACAGCCCGUCAUGACCAUCCAACCGGGGCUAAAUACGGAGGAAUACCCUCCCCAGGAAAUUAACUUAGGAUUAUAUAUAGGCGCGGAGGAAUACUCGUAGUGAGCUGUCACCAUCAGCGGCUCACCUCUUAUCCGCAAUAUGUAACCCCAAAUAAUGAUAUCCCGUACUCUAGACACCACGCCUAAACUACCAAAUACUACUCUAAUAUCAUCGUCAUGACAUAGAGUAAUUGCAUAAGCAAACACUAUACCCGCACCAAAGCAUCUCCCAGAUUAGCUAGCCGUAUAUUCAGUAUAACAUGAACAUAAUGUAAAGUUGGUACUUAUAUACUCGGAAAGUAUUUCAAUACUAGAAAUGUAUUUAGAAGAGUAUUCGGAUAAAAGUACAAAGCUUACAAAAGAGGAAAGGAAAGCUACUAUAGCCAUACCCGAACUCUUCCAAAGGCUUCCGGACUCCUGAUUCCUAUUCUAAUUCUAUUCCACCAGCUAGAUAAUACUAAACUAAACUUGAGAGGAAUGAGAGACCUCUUGCUUGAGGUGUGUGAGUGAAGUGAGAAGGUGAAAUCCUUUUAUAGCUGAACUAUGACGGUUGUGACGGUUGGAAUGGUCGGUAAUACCCUCCAACCGUCAUUGGGGCUUCAUCUCCACCAUCCAGCCAAAACCUGGGGCUGACCCAACCCAGCCAAAUUUCGGCUGGCGGCCUCCUCUGCUGCUUUACUUCGUAGACUUGUGAAUUUUGGCCUGAUUCAUCGUGUCAAGUCUGCGUUCUUCACCCAUUCAUACAUAAGUAUGGUUCUCAACAUCGUCCGAUUGAUUUAUCGUCUGAGUUGAUGUCGAUUCUCCUUCACUUUAUUGUCAUUCUCUGCAAAAGGUUAGUAGACCUAAUACUAGUGGAAUAUUAUUAUUCUAACAUAUUUAUGCAUUGCAAGCAUCACUAGUUCUCUCCUGUUUUAGUAAUAUUGACAGUCGAAACUGAUCGAUAACGACCGUCGAUAAAAAUCUCCAUCCCAAACUUUUCCAGACAGGCAAUCAAUCCCGUCCAUCUCCCAAAGAGCUAAAUCGGCACUAGCAACGUUAAUUGACCUGUCGGCUGGCACGAUCUCAAUCUUGUCACCUUGCCAUUGAAUCAAGCACUGAUGCAUGGUCAAAGGAAUACAUCAAUUAGCGUGAAUCCAAUCCCUUCCAAGCAAUAGGCUAUAAGAACCCUUCCCAUCGAUGACAAAAAAUGUUGUAGGAACGGUCUUGCUACUGACUGUCAGCUCCACAUUUGGUCUCCAAUGGAUUGCCGCCAAAAUCUUUGAGAACCAUGUUUGUCUUGAUAAGAUCAUCUGAACUUCUGCCCAGCUUCCUGAAUGUAGCCUAUGCCAUCAAAUUUACAGCAGCCCCACCAUCAACCAUCAUCUUAGACAUCGGCUUCCCAUUGACAAACCCGUUAACAUACAAUGGCUUGAGAUGCCGAUUCUCUGUCCCCUCUGGUUUCUCAAAAAUUGCUUGCUCUGGCGACAAAACCAAUCUAGCAGAGGCCUCUUCAACAUCAUCAACAUUGGCUUAUCUAGCGUCAAAUUCUGCAGGUAACAUAAACACCAUGUUCACCGAUGUAGAUGCGACAUUCUUUCCUCUAGCCAACCUUUUUGCUUUGUCGGCCUCAACUUCAUCGGCUGUUGCAACCUUACUCUUGACACGCCACUCAUGCCUGGGUUUUGUCUUUUUUAGCCAAUGAUUGAUUUCUUGUUCUACCUCCUGGAAACGCUCCCUGUUCCUCAUCCGUUGAACCCUCCUCUUCUGAUUCUUCGUGAAAAUACCAGAAGAGCACCAUUGCGUCUUCCUAUCCUCGUUCUCAUCUUGAUGACAAUCUUGAUUGACCGGACCCAACCUCUAAUGAACAGGAACCCUCUUAUCACUCAGCCGAUUGCUUCUAUCAUAAGAUCGGCUUGAACUUCCUGCGUUGUCAUUGCAGCCAGGGCAAUCUUCAAUUGAUGGCAGCCUCAUCCCCUCAUUCUAGCAAAACCUGAAGAACUCACAACCCUAAUGAGGACCAAAACCACCAUCAUCUUGCUCGUAGUACUUCUCCUGUUGCUUAUCAUGCCUUUUCUGAUAUUUAUUGACGAUCUUGGCUGAAUUCAACUGAGAACUUCGAGUCUUUCCUCCAUCAGCUGCUCUGCCAGCUGUGUGCACCAUGUUGACGAGAAAAGGAAGUCUCUCCACCUUCAUCGGCUUUUUAGAAUCAUCAAACUUGAUCUUUCCUCCUUCAAUAGCCGUUUGGAUCUGCUGCCUAAAGACUUUACAAUCAUUGGUGGAGUAGGAAUCAGAAUUAUGCCACUUGCAAUACUUCCUUUUCCCUAGCUCUUCAGCCGAUGGUAUUAUGUGGCUAGCAAGAAGUUGUAUCUGCUUCUCCUGAAGUAGCAAGUCAAAAAUUUUAUCAGCUUUAGUAAUAUCAAUGUCAUACCUCUCUUCCUUUCUAGAACUCGGCAGUCCACCGGGUAGGUUUGUUUAUCCUUCCUUUUUCGAGUGUCUUCUUGGAUAGUUAUAGUGGCCCAUAGGCGCAGAAUCUGAUAUGGAAAACAAUGCUUUCUGACAACUAAUCACUGGAAGCACCCGAUUCUCUCUACUCUGUUUCACCUCUCUUUCUUUUGGCUUCUUCUUGAGAAUAUUUUUGCAUUCUAGUUCAAUAGUUUCUUUUUGAUUUACAGAUCAAACAAAAGAAAAAACAUUACAGAAUCUCAAACAAAAUAAAAUCACACAUAUAAGGAUACACGUGAUUGAUCUUCUUGAAACUUUUCUUAGCCUCCACAAACCUUUGCUCAUGCAUGGUCAAACUUUCAAACUCCUGCGAUGAAAAUUUCUCCUUGAUCGGAGCUAUCAAACCCUGGAAUGCGAGAUCGGUUAACUGGGAAUCUGUCAAAGACAAGCUGUAACACUUGUUCCUCAUAUCUCUGAACCUCUGUAUGUAAUCUUGCAUAGUUUCAUCAUGCCUCUGCCUAACCGCCGUGAAAUUAGAGAGCUUCAUCUGAUGGGUCCCGCUGUAGAAGUAACUAUGGAAUUGUUUCUCCAAGUCGACCCAACCUUGAACAGAAUUGCAGGGCAAUGAAGAAAACCAUGUGAAUGCUGAUCUGGACAAAGACAAAGGAAACAACCGAACUCUUAAAGCAUCGACAGCCGAUGCUUCUCCACAUUGAGCCAAGAAUCGGCUGACAUGCUCGUACGUCGAAAUGUUGUUUUGCCCUGAGAACUUUGAAAAAUCUAGCACUUUGUAUCGGUUCGGCAGUGGAACUCUCUCAAACCACUCAGGAUAAGGGUGCCGAUACAAAUUUCCAAUGUCUUUUGGCUUAAGCCCAAACUGCUCCCUCAUCACAUCUGCAAUCAUAUCGGCCCAUGGCUUCUACUGGGGCACUCCUUGCACUUGUUGCUGCAUCGGCUCGAACUGAUUGAGCUGGGAAACAAAUUGGGACUGAGGUGAUCCUCCUUGCUGAUACUGAAUAUGAAGGAGGCUGGUAUUGAUAAUUCAAAUUAACCCCCUGAUAAUUCUGGAAAUUUGGCUUUACAUUAUGCACCAAAUGCUCAAGAAUAACUUGGGCUACAACCGAUUGAUUUGGUUGUACACUAUGUACCAGGUGCUCAGGAAUAACUUGGGCCACAUUUUGUUGCCUCUGCCGAUUAUCAGGUGUUCUCAGGCCAGGUGAUAUCUACUGCACCGUCUGCUACUGAAUCGGCUAAGCCAUCUGUUCUCUUGGUGACAUCUACUGAAUUGGUGCUGACUGUACUGGCUCGACAAUCGGCUGAGUUGUUGGGAACAUUGUAGCAGUCUGCUCCUGAGUCAGCCGAUUGAUGUUCUGCCCAACAUGUUGCGGCUGGUCUCUAGACAAGAGACGAGGAUUAACCACCUGCCUUUGAGCUGACGAAGGUGCAACCGGUGCUGGAGCAUAAACUGUUGCCGUCGGCUGGACUGAUGGUGCAUUGGAAGCAUGCUGCUGAUUUCCUAUCACCAAAUUCCUGUAGUUUGGGAAGACACCACCUGGUAGGUAGACUGGCCCCAUGUUCUCAUACUCAGCUAUCGUGCCAUCAAUGACAAAUUUGAUCUUAUUUGUUAGUGUAUUGACAAGCACUCCAGAUUGGUUGAUCAAGGCACGUUGUACGGCAUAAUCAACUUGGUCUUGGAAAUUUGUGCACCUAGGAGGUUCCUCCCGCACUUCAGUACCAUCUUCACCAAGAUCUUCAACCACACCAUCUUGAAGCCCAUCACCUUUAUCGCCUGAGCCAUCUGCAGUACCUUUACCACCUUGGGAUGAACUUGUUCCAACUUCAUCGGCAGCAACCACCUUCACCUUGUACUUUUGGAUAACUUUUCCUUGUCGGGUUGCUGCAAACGAUUUCAUGAACUGCUCCUGAGCGCUCUUCAUCAUCAGUUCAUACUCCUUCUUUUGUUCUGGUGAUAACUUGUCUACAGUGACUGGGACGAUGUUUGUCUCAUUGACCUUGGACUCAACCCCAAUUGAAGGUAGAUUAGUCCCUGGAGGUUUCGGCAGCUUGGUUUGAGGAGGCACUGGCGGCUUGCCUGUUAAUGGCGGUGAUUGCUUUUCUGCUGACAUUGUUAUUACUUGUCGGUCCCACCAGGCAUGCCAAAAGCGUGUUGAUGCGAAAAACGCACACUGCCUGGAAGAUCUGCUUAACUUCAGUGCAGAUCCAAAAUCUUGCUUUUAGGUUCGUGAGCGUGCCAGUUGAUUUGAUCCUGCAAUCAACAAGAAAGAAAAACAAGAAAAACCGCGGUUAAAUCCAUAAACGAUAGCCGAUCGACCAGUCGCCGAUGACAUAUCAUGUAUUUUCAAGCCGAUGUCAUAUGUGAAUCGAUCGGCAAUUAUAAGUACGCAAAGUAAGACUAAAUCUACUCGAUCGGCUGUAGAUAUUAACGUUAUGUAAUCCUUCUGUUGAUGUAUAUUUAAACCAAGUGAUUGGGAUAGAUCGGUCGCCAUACUGAGACAGUAUAAAUCACUUAGAUCGAAGUAUACAUUAACACAAAGAUUAUAAACGCUUAUAGCAUAGCCGAUCAGAUAGAUCUAGCAUGUAUCGGCUAGUACUCCGAUACCACUCUAUAUUAAGAUAUUAGAACAAGUAGAAUAUAUCAAACAAGUAGCUUAAUAUACUUUAUUGCAAUAGGAUCUUAAUAUAAAGGGCAGACUUAGCAUAUCAAUCAAGCACAAUCAGGUAAGAUCAGCUAAAACCCCGAUACUAUCUCUCUUGAUAAUCAUAAAACAUGCCAGAUAUCAUAAUUACAGAUAUUACUUAAUAGAUCGAUCUCAACCGAUGCAGCAUUAAGCAUAAAGACAAGUAUAAGAUCUAGGCAAGAUGAUGAAAAACUCUAAGAGAUGGUAGAUACACGAUACAAUCUAGAUUAAUAACAGAACAUAACCCUAUCGAUUGUUUUCUAGCAAUAAGAACCAGUCGAUAACAAGUUAUAUAAUGCGACUAACAAAGAUUGCGACGUGUAUAUGAUAACUCGACGAAUUACAUAAACAGGAUUAGAGUGUCAUAAAUAUGGAAGCACUAAUCCCGAUAACGCAAGCCGCCAUGACAAGUUUACCUCUAGUUGAAGAUCAAAUCGAUGCAGCUCAACCCGAAAGCAAGAACUCGCCGAAAUAGAACGAAAGUAAAAAGGGUGGCGAUGCGCCGAAAGUGUAUUGAUCGUGUGAUGAUUGAUUACAUGGGUUCGGGUUAUAUUUAUACCCGAGAUUACAAAAUAUGUCCUUGCCGGACACGACACUUAUCUCUAAUAAACUCUAAGAUACCAUAAGCCUUUACGGCAGACUUUUGCCCAAACAUAUCUCUAAGAAAAUUACAUGAAAUAUCCUAAUUAAUAGAUACAUUUGCCUAUCCGAGAACUUUAUCUCCAUCGUGGCAAUCCUCGUGAAGCAAUUUGAUCGAUUCUAGAAACAUCCUUGAAACCAUCGUCAUCGGAAUCGGCUGCAUCACCUCUAUCGGCUGUAUCGGCUGUCCUCUAUCCGAUCCAUCUCAGCCGAUGCAGACUCCAGCCGAUGCCUUCACAGCCGAUGCAAACUCUGUUCUUCGAAUCUAUCUCUUUACCGAAUCCGCCUCGAUUCCAAUGUCGAACCUGGUUCAUAUCUUACCAAAUUUGGUCGUCAACAGGGUGACAGAACUUGGAGCGUACGGAAGGAGGUAUUGAACCUAAUCCCUCUUUAGGUCAAAUCAUAGUUCUUGAGUAUUUUGUUCGAUGCGGUUUUCUACCCCCUCCUUCCGAAUUUUUUCUCUUGAUCCUCAACUUCUAUGGCCUACAUCUGCUCCACCUAAACCCCAACUCAAUCACCUUCCUAGAUCUGUUUUAGGCAUUUUUAUGAGCUCAGAUGGAUAGAGUCCCACAGAAUCUCCGAAUGUUGUGGUUUUCCAUCUCCUGGACGGGAUGAAGGCAGAGCACAUCCCCUUCGACUGCCCUUCCUCAAGGAGCUUAUGGAGGUCUAAAUGGUUCUACCUCCAUGUAGAGGACCGCCCCUCCAACCUUGCCAUCCUAGAAGAGAAACCCGAACGGCCUCCCUCUUGGACAUCCAAACCUUCAUUGAACCCUCACUCCAAGUUUCCAUAGAAAAAAUCCACGACCUCCGAGAAUGAGAGUUGUCGGGGUAUGAACUUGCUAGGGACUUCAUACGUCGCCAGAUCGAGCCACUACAAGCUCGCGCUCACCCCGCGUACGAUUACUUAGGAACUGAAAAUAAGACAUGGAUCUCGGUUCGGGGUAGUCGUUCUCACAACCCUCCUGACCUCGAGUUGUGUAAUGCCUUGAUCUCAAAUGCUAAUGUUACUAUUCCAUUUGCGGAGCUCGAUAACAACACUAUGGCCACACGAGUAGGUCACCUGGUGAUCAAUUCUCCAUCAGGCUACGACAAGUUCCCGACCCACUUGUGUGACCUCCUGUCCUCGAACAAGGACGCCGCCAUCAACGUAAUUGACUUCAAACUACCCCUCUUUGCUUUUGUAACAAUAUCCAAAGACGUAGUAAUCUGAAGUUGUAUAGUAUCUACCGUUGACGGAUGCCAUCGGUCCUCUCAUCGAUCACCAAGCCACCUCAUCUCUUAAGGAAAAGGCGGUGUCCAAGCAGGCUGAUGUCGCUGCCGCUUGGAGCAGCAGUGGCACGAAAAUCUCCAAACGGAAAUGGGUAGGGAUAUCUAAACCUUCGCCUAGUGUUGGGACGCUCGUACAAACGAGAAGCUCCGAGGUAAAUCUCAAUCUCCGAUCCUUGCUUGGUAUUCUUGAGAUAAGUAUAGGAUUCUCACUUAUACAUCUUGCAGGCCACCCUCGGUGCUCACUACUACAAAAACCGUUUUUGCAAACGGGCGGAUUGCAUUUUCGUAGUAGUGGCUGCUCCCUCUACACGAAAGAGGGACAGACUUUUAAAGCGGCUGAAGCCUGAGUAAGUCAAAAACUAACCCCUGAUUCUCAUAUAUCAAAUCACAUCAUCUAGCGUACUCGCUGACUUCGUCUGGGCAGCCCUAAUGGGUGAUCGAUCGCCCGCCAAUGGGGGUAGCGAUCAGAUUCGCUACCCCCCUCCCCCCUCCUUCCCUCCACCUGGUUUUCUUUUUUGGCACCGUGUUACUUUCCUAUUUUAGUAAAUUUAUACACCUCAAGUUUACACAUCUAAAGUUUAGAGACCCAAAGUUUAUAAGUCAAAAGUUCAUAUAUCCGAUUCAAAUUUGAAUUUGAAUUCAAAUAUUUUUUUAUAUAUAGUAUUUCUAUACAUCUAAACUUUAUACACCUAAAGUUAGUUUAUAGACCUAAAGUUUAUACACCUCAAGUUUACACAUCUAAAGUUUAGAUACAUGUUUCAAAUUUAUAUUUGAAUUAUAUCCGAUUCAACCUGUUUCAAAUUUGAAUUUGAAUUAUAUCCGAUUCAAAUUUGAAUUUGAAUUCAAAUAUUUUCUAUAUAUAGUAUUUCUAUGCAUCUAAAGUUUAUACACCUAAAGUUUAUAGACCCAAAGUUUAUAAGUCAAAAGAUUACAUACCCGAUUCAAAUUUGAAUUUGAAUUCAAAUUUUUUCUAUAUAUAGUAUUUCUAUACAUCUAAAGUUUAUACACCUAAAAUUUAUAGACCCAAAGUUUAUAAGUCAAAAUGUUUACAUACCCGAUUCAAUUUUGAAUUUGAAUUUAAAUUUUUUAUAUAUAGUAUUUCUAUACAUAAAUUUUUCUAACUUUUUGUUUUUUAAAAAAUUUUUGUGUUGUGUACUGUAGUAGGGGAGGAGGGAGGAGUGUAUCUAGUAUAGAGAGGGGGCAGGCGGGUGAUCGCUAGGCUGGUGGGGGAGCGAUCACCCACCCAUUAGCAUUUCCGACUUCGUCUUUGGCAGCGUUUCUUCCACUGCUUCCGCUCAAAGCGUUGGGCGCGUGGAGACCAGCUCCUACCCGACUGUUAUCGCCACUGCACCAACAAUGCUCGCUCCUCUGCCUCACCCCACUCACCGCCACGUCCCGCCCCGGCGCUAAUAUAGUAGGGGAGGCGCGUCGCCUGCUCGAAGCCAGCACAUGCGACAUGCUCGCCGAGAUCAAACGAACUGAGAAAAUCGUUUCGUCCUCGGAUGGGAGUGUUGCACAGCUGGAGAACAUGCCCACGGAGGCUCAGGAGGACUUGUAGAAAUUCAAGGACCUCGUUGCCAGCCACGUGGGGCAGCGCCAGGGGAUGGAGAAGCUGAUGAUGGAGAUGCAGGGCCACCUGGAUUCGAUUAGCCAUGGCUCGACGUGGUGGCACGCAACCUGAGAAUCCAAUAAGCGGGCCCCACGUUCCCCGAUGAGACCACCGUGGAGUCCUUGCUUGGCUUUUUAAUCGGGAAACUCGAAGGAGUUCCCGCCAAGCUCGCCGAGCGAGUUGCCGAUGAAACAUGCUCUGGUGUUCGGACCGGUGCAUGUCACGUUCUCAUGUGCCUAAAACUCACACACCCCGAGAUGAACCUCAAGGAGGUGCUGGACAGGGGUGGAGACGACCCGACGCCAGAGGACAUGUCUGGGGAUACCCGGGUUGAGUAUGCACUGGUCGAGAAACCAUCUUUCGUCGGUCGGCCGAAUUUCACAAUAGUCCCGGAUGCAAUAAAAACUAGGGCUAAAGAUGAUCUUUAGUCCCGGUUAAAAAGGGUAACGGGUAUAUUUGAUCUUUAGUCCCGGUUCGUAACACCAACCGGGACUAAAGAUCAUCUUUAGUCCCGGUUCAAAUGCUGCCAGGGCCUAUCAGGCCCCCCCGGGAUCUUUAGUCCCGGUUGGUAACACCAACCGGGAUUAAAGAUCAUAACUUUAGUCCCGGUUGGUAAUACCAACCGGGACUAAAGAUCUCGAGGAUCUUUAGCACCGGUUGGUAACACCAACCGGGACUAAAAUCCCACCCCUAUAUAUAGGUCUUCUUCCUCCUCCAGCUGCCCGAGCAAGCUUCUAAAUUUCUUCAAAAAAGAGGGGAGGUCAUGCCAAAAUUUCUAGUAAAUUUAUUUUGGGGAUUACAUACAAAUCGGAGGUGCCUAAAAGGUUUCCAACUUCAUCCUCCAAUGUUUUUUUUGUCAUAUUACAUUUGCAGCUAUGUUUUGCACACUUUUUUGUCUCCAAAAUUUAUUUGUAAGUUGAUGAGAGAGAAAAUUUGUGUGAGAAAGAAAGAAUAUAUAGAAAUUUAGUUGAUUUGCUAAAGUACGUUUCAUAAAAUAGUUGAGAAGGAAAAUAUAGUGAAAGUUAAUCUUAAAUAAUAGAAAACAUACUAAAAUGAAAAUUAAAAGAAGUAAAACACGUUAAAAUUAGUUUAAAACUUUAGAAAUAGUAAAUAAGAAUUAUUUGGUGUAAUAUUUUAUGAUUUUUGUAUGAAUAAAGAUAUGUCAUUAUUGUAUGACUGUUGAAAGAGUUUGUAAUUAUGUUAUAAUUAUUGUAUGACUGUCAUUAUUGUAAGAAUAAUUAUUUGUGUACGAUUUUUUUUCGACUCAUGUAGAUGGAUCGGCAAUGGAUGUACGCUGACCGGCGGUCCAAAGAGUUUACUGACGGCGUGCACUAUUUUUUGAGAGUGGCCGAAGCUAACAGGCAAAGGGGUUUUAUUUGUUGUCGAUGCAAUAAGUGUAAGAAUUAGAAGGAGUAUUCUGCAUCCAGGACUAUUCAUUUCCACUUGUUUGAGUCGGAGUUCAUGCCAAGCUAUAAUUGUUGGACAUCCCACGGAGAGCAAGGUGUUGAAAUGGAAGAAGAUGAAGUGGAAGACGACAAUAUUCUGGACUUUGCUCAGUACAUUGGAUUUGAAGGAAAUCAAACAGGCGAGGAGGAAAGGGAUGCUGAUGGUAACGACGUUGCGGAUGAUCUUGGUCAGAUGUUGCAGGACGCCAAGGAGGACUGCGAAAGUGAAAAGGGGGCCCAUAAAUUGGACAAGAUGUUAGAGGACCACAGAACUUCGUUAUACCUAGGUUGCGAGCAGUGGCACAAAAAGUUGGAUACCACUCUGGAGUUCUUGCAAUGGAAGGCAAAAAAUGGGGUUAGUGACAAGGCAUUUGGCGAUUUAUUGAAACUCGUCAAGAACAUUCUUCCAGAGGGAAACAAAUUGCCCGAGACAACGUACGAGGCUAAGAAGAUAGUCUGCCCGCUAGGACUAGAAGUUCAGAAGAUUCACGCAUGUCCGAAUGAUUGUAUCCUAUAUCGUGGUGAGGAGUAUGAGAACCUAGAAACAUGCCCUGUUUGCAAAGCACUACGAUACAAGAUUAGACGAGACGAUCCAAGAGAAGUUGACGGGCAGCUAAAAAAGAAGAGAAUUCCAGCUAAGGUGAUGUGGUAUUUCCCUAUAAUACCACGGCUAAGCCGUUUGUUCAGGAACAAGGGGAAUGCUAGAAUGAUGCGAUGGCAUGCUGAAGAGCGUCAACAGGACGGGAUGCUGAGACACCCCGCCGAUGGUUCGCAGUGGCGAAACAUCGACAGAAAAUUUAAAGAAUUUGGAAAGGACGCACGAAACAUACGGUUUGGUUUGAGUAUGGAUGGCAUGAAUCCUUUUGGAGAGAUGAGCAGCGGCCAUAGCACUUGGCCCGUUACGAUACGUAUCUACAACCUCCUCCCCUGGCUAUGCAUGAAGAGGAAGUACAUAAUGAUGCCGAUUAUUAUUCAAGACCCCAAGCAACCCGGUAACGACAUCGAUGUGUACCUAAGACCACUGGUCGAAGAUCUUAAACUGUUGUGAAAGAAGGAAGGUGUCCCCGUGUGGGACGAGGACAAACAGGAGGAGUUUAACCUACGAGCGCUGCUGUUCGUAACCAUCAACGAUUGGCCUGCACUGAGCAACCUAUCCGGACAGUCCAACAAGGGGUACAAGGCUUGCACUCACUGUAUGGAUGAAACAGAAAUUACGUAUCUUAAGCACUGUAGGAAGGUUGUAUACAUGGGUCAUCAUCGAUUCCUUGCAGCAAACCACCCGGUACGGAAGAAAGGCAAGCACUUCGAACAUAAGUAAAGCCCAUUUCACGGUUCUGCAACAAUCUUCAUUGGUAGCUCCUUACAUCGAGGAGCACUUGGCUCUAGUUCGUGCCAGGAACAUCGGUAAGUCCGAUGCAUGGAUUACACGGCAUCACAUUGAUACUUUCCCCGCGUGGCUACGACAACAUCUCAUGGGUAACGAGUCCAUCAACCAACAACUUGCCUUCCUGGCGAGGGGACCGUCUGGGUCGAUCGCGACAUUCCAGGGAUAUGAGAUCAAUGGGUACACAUUCUACACGAGAGCCCAAGACAUGACGAGCACGAACCAAAACAGCGUUGUUCGUGUCGAUGCCAUGGGACACGAUGGAACAAUGUCACGUCCUGAUAAAUUCAUCCCGAAAUAAAAAUCAUUCUCUAAAAGGAAUAAUAGAAUUAAUUAAAAUUCGAAAAGAAAUUGGCAAACACUAAAAUACGUACAAUAAAAAUUCAAAUGUGCCCCGGAGAAUUUUUGUUAAAUUCUCCUUGGUCUAAAAGGAACCCUCAAAUUUUAGUGGAAUUUUCAGAGCACAAAUAAUAAUUAUUAAGAAAUAAACAAAGUUAAAAAGGUUUUAUAAAAAGAAAAAUCCCUAAAAGUCUUUUCCCCCCCUCCCCCUCUUGGGCCGGCUCGGCCCAUCUCUUUCCCUCUCUCUCCUCCUCCCCGCGGCCCACUCGGCCUCUCCCCGCGCGCGCGCCGCUGACGGGCGGGCCCGCCCGCCACCCUCGCUGACGGGUGGGGCCCACCUAUCAUCCCUAUCCUCCCGCCGCUCCCGCCGCCUCGCCCGUGCCCUAGCGCCGCCGCCGCCGCGAAUCCCGCCGCCUCCCGCCGUCCCCGCGCGCAAUAAAGAGGGGGAAAUCACUCCCCGUGAUUCCCUCCCUCUUUCCCCCCACUUUUCCCUCUCUCUCUCCCUCGGAUUCGUUUGGAAUCCUCCCGCAAACCUCGCCGGCGUCUUUGAUGGAGCCCGAGAUCGCCGCGCCGGUUUCCUUCCACUCCGGCCGCCCUCUCUCCCUCCCAACGCUAUAUAAACGUUCCCCGUGCCUCCCUCCUCCGUUUCCGCCUCUCGCCGCUCUCUCUCCCCGUCGGAAUCGAGCUCGCGCCGUCGUCCCCUCUCUCCGCCGUCACCGCCGAGCUCCGGUCCGCCGCAGUCGUUGCCUCGGACCUCCUCCCGCUUCGGCAUCGCCACCUUCGGCUUCGCCGCGUCCUCGCCGAUCUCGUCCACUCUUUCGUUUCGCCCGCCGACCGCCGGAACGCCGCCGUCCUCGUCGACCCGAGCCGCAGCGCCGCCUCUCUCCGCUUCGGUCGCCGUUCCCGUCGUCGCCGUCGACCCGGGGUGAGCCAUGGACCGCCCUUUCGUUUCCCCCUUCCCUCCCCUCUCUCGGGCGCCGCUCCGUCGCGCCGGAGGUCGCCGCCGGCGACCAUCGGGGCGCGGGCGCGUCGCCUCCCGUCGGCUGUGCCGGCGAGGCCGCCUUCGGGCGCGCCCCGCGGCUGCCAUGUGGGACCCGGCCAUCAGCCGCCCGCGCCCUCGGGUGCGGCUGACGCGUGGGACCCACGGCGCCGGCCGGCGCAAGCCGCGUGCACCCGGUCCACCGUGGACCGUGAGGCUGCCGCGUGGGCCCCACUCCCGUGGACCCGGUCCGCGCGUCCCUCCCCUCGGCUGACGCAAUAAAUCCGUUUUUAAAUUAAAAUUUAAAUGAAGAAAUUCGUAAAUAUCCAUUUAAAGAGCAUAUAAACUUCAAAUGGCCAUAACUUGGCCAUUUGAACUCGGAAUUGGACCGUUCAAGUCUCUAAUUUUUCCUUAAGAAGCCAAGAACCCAUUUUUGUGCUUUGUUUCUGCUUGUUAUAUGGAGUUUAGUAGAGUAAAAGCCUUUUCUUUUCCGUUGGUCGUGUAGACGCUGCAGCUUCGGAAGAUCCGCUCUUCGUGGAAGUUGAAGCCGGCGUUUGGGAAAGCGAGCAAGGCAAGUCACAUCAUCUUUGAACAUAUUGAAUCCCAGUUUGUAAAAUUAUGUUGAUUUAACUUAUUGCAUUAUCGCUUUAUUUAAAUUCCCGCGUUAUCACUGUUUUAUUUAGCCAUGCCUAUUUACCUUUGUUAUGACCUUAUUAUUAUUGCUAUUGUUAUUAUUGCCUUGUUCACCCUAGAAUAAACAAAACCCCAACUAGUGGGCACUCUAUUCAUGGUUCCACUAGUAUGAAUUUAGGUAGAUGCUUCGCUGUUUAAUAGGACAACAUUAGGUGGUUUUUAUAACUUUAGACUUUGGGAAUUCUCAUAUCAUUUGGACACUAUGGAAUGGUUGGCUUAUGUUGGAAUUGGACACACACCUCCCCCUCUAAUCAAAACCCCCAAAAUGGUUUUAGGCUGGGCUCGAGGUGCGUGGUUGGGUUUUGUUAGUCGUACCUCGGGUACUAUAAGGAUUAAGCUCGGGCCUCUGUUGCAAAGCACUACCGUACUUCCACAUGUCUAGUGGGUAAGGCUUAGUUUGUGGCUCAGUCUGGUUAUAAACAAAAGUACACGGAUGGAGAUGGACGAAGUCGGGGGUCGAUGGACAUCUCUAGGACAAAUGAAGGCUACACGAGCUGCGGCCCGGUAGUCGAGAUGUCAUGGCACAGGGUUGGUGUCCUGCUGCUAGGGGGCUCAAUCCUGCCUGCCUGUCCCGGGGGUUCCGGCCGUAGGUGGGGUUGGGUCGGUACUCUUGUUUAUGGCUAGGAUGGGUUGGAAACUAUGUCACGUCUUCCGUCCGUAUACCGUGGUGGUAUGUGGCACGUGGUUACACGUGAGGAAGAUGUGUCUUGUGGGUAAAGAUGUACACCUCUGAUCAGAGUAUAAUCUAUUCGAAUAGCCGCGCCCUCGGUUAUGGGCAAGCCGAGCAAUGUACCCAAGUCAGUGUUUUAAUUCUUAAAAUUUGCUUAACAACUAAAAUGUGGAAUGGUUGGCCUGGGUUGGCUUGGGACGAGUUGGGACCCAGGGUCGGGUUGCCAGUUCGGUCUGAAUCAUCGUAGGCCUUGGGUUAAGGCAGGUUCGUGCGGGUUCACGACCUUGAUUAAUAAUACUGUGUAGCUUUAGGAUCGUCUUUUUAAAAUGGCUUUGGGCAACUAAGUGACUUUUAAAUGCUGUUUUCUGCAAAACUUAACCCCUAUAUCAUUACCCCUUGUACCCCCUUGCAUUAAUCGUGCAUCCGCCGGUGUGGCUUGCUGAGUACUGUGGUUGUACUCAUUCUUGCUCUAUCUUUCUCCCCUCUUCAGUAAGAGAAGCUUUGGAGAAGAAGUCUUAGGUGGAGUCUUGGCUUAUACCCCAGUUGAGCGCCUGUGAAGAUGGAGCCGUAGGCCCGCUAGUCCGCUGCUGUUUAUUUUUGAUUGUCAGGCCUUAAGUGCCUUUGUAAUAAAGUAAAUAUUAUCGAUAUAAUAAAGAUGUGUCUUUUAUAUCAUGUUUGUAUGGUGUACCCCGGCUUUUCCUGGGACGGGGAUUAAUACACUAGCGUUCGGGAAAAUACAAUUUUCUCGGUCGCGACAAGCUGGUAUCAGAGCCAUUUCGACUGUAGGAUAAGCCAAGUGGAUAAAACCUAAGGACAUAUUUUAUAAAUAAAACUAUUUGCGAAAGUUUCUCUUUUUCUCCUUUCCCUAAUGCUAUUUGCACAAGGUUUACCCUUUUCUUCCUUCUUCAAAUUUCAACUAGUACUAGAUGGUCAGGUCAGUGAAGAAGAAGAUGUCGUCAAUUGUCUGCCGAAGCUCCAGAAGGCUGCAGGAUCCGCUAGUGAAGUGAAGGAAGCAGUGAAGCCAGCUGUGAAGGAGUGAAGAUCUUGGGAACCCAUCGCAGAACCUAAGCCACCCUAUAGGGUAGUGUUGUUAGUCGUGUGUUCCUUGCUUGUGUGUGUAGCGCGUGGUUUGCAUCGGUGGGUUGUGAUGUAACCAUGCUAGGUUGUUUGCUUAAUCAACCUGCAGAAUAAGCAAAACAAACAACACAUCAACAAAAAGAGUUAGUUCCUUUAAGGUCUUGUCCCUAGUUCUGGUCGAUUCUUUCCUUGUAUGCUUCCCCUCUCAACCUCUACCUUGUGACAGAUGGAUAACACUGGUAACAAAGGCUAUGGGAAUGAUGGAUCCGAUGACUCAAGAACCCAAGCCAAUGGGAAUGAGAAAAGCAUCAACGAAACCUCACCAGAGCUAAUCCAAAUUGUGGUUAACCAAACCAACAUGUUGGCAACAGCCUUUCAACUAUUACAGAAUUGGAACAACCCAGCAGGGGCAACCAACGUUCAAGUACCCACAGUCCAGCAACAGUGCAAGUUAUCAGAAUUUCUCAAAACUGAGCCUCCAACCUUUGCCAUUGCCGUCGAUCCUAUGGAAGCCAGUGAUUGGUUGCGCACAGUCGAGAAGAAGCUAGGGUUGAUUCAGUGCACCGACCAGGAGCGGGUUGGCUUCGCAACUCAUCAGUUGGUUGGACCGGCUUCAGAGUGGUGGGAUAGCUACGAAGCAUCACGGCCAGAAGGACAUACCAUCACCUGGAACGAGUUUUCAUCUGUAUUCAAGAGAUCACAUGUUCCCGCAGGAAUGAUCACACUAAGAAAACGAGAGUUUCGCUACCUGAAGCAAGGAGAUUUGACCGUCACAGAGUACCUGCACGAGUUCUAUCGUUUGGCUCACUAUGCACCAGAAGAUGUGGAAGCGGAUGAAGACAAACAAGAGAAGUUUCUCCAGGGGUUAAAAGAUGAGCUUGCAGUGCAACUACUCCUAGAGGAUUAUGAAGAUUUUGAGAAACUUGUGGACAAAGCCAUGCAACUUGAAAGUGAGCAUAAUCGGAUGACGAACUGCAAGAGAAGGAUGGUCAACAUCCCAGUAUUUCCAUGUGGUAACCAAGGACAGCGCACUGAGCCACUUCAGAUCACCGGAUCUUCUGUUGCGCAUCAAGAGUUUCCGCCCCAAGAAGAUGGACACAAUGCAGACAACAACAUUAGCAAUACUAAUGAUGAUGAUGUUACCACCAACAACCAUGCUUCUUGCCCCAAUAGUGACCACUCGAAUCAAGCGUGCAAUGUCAACAUCAUUCACCAAGAUGUCAACGAUAGUAUCAAUGAUGGCACCCAAAAUGACAACCCUAGCAAUUGGGACUCUGAGAAAGACUCCGAUGUAAACUAUUUUGGAUGUAUUGAUUAUCCAUAUAAAUCAAUUGAUGUAUGGCAUAUGUUAAUUACGCACAAUUAUUAGAGGUUUUAACAAGUUUAAAUCAUGUAUAUGCUAGUUAUAUGCGAUACUUACAAUUUUUAAAAGUUUUAAAUCACGCAGGUGGCAAUUUCAUAUGUUAAUUAGAGUUUUUAACAUUUAAUUUACUAUCAUUCAUAUGCUAAUUAUAAUUGACUAGAGAAUUUUUAAAAGUUUUAAAUCAUGCAUGUGGCAUUUACAUAUGUUAAUUAGAGUUUUUCACAAUUUAAUUUACUAUCAUUCAUAUGCAAAUUAUAUAUAACUAUUCAAAUUUUUAAAAGUUUUAAAUCAUGCAUGUGGCAUUUACAUAUGUUAAUUAGAGUUUUUCACAAUUUAAUUUACUAUCAUUCAUAUGCUAAUUAUAUAUGACUAUUCGAAUUUUUAAAAUUUUUAAAUCAUGCAUGUAGCAUUUACAUAUGUUAACUAGAGUUUUUAACAAUUAAUUUGAUAUAAUUCCUAUGCUAAGUAUAUAUGAUGAUUACAAUUUUUCUUAAUUUUAAAUCAUGCCGUCUGUAUAUACAUAUGUUAAUUAGAGUUUUUACCAAUUUAAUAUCAUUCAUAUGCUAAGUAUAUAUGAUUAUUAGAAUUUUUAUUAAUUUUAAAUCAUAUAUUUGCUUAUUACAUUUUAUCCACUUAAUUACACACAACAAUAAUUUUUCGAAGUAAUUGUCAUUAAUCUUUGUACUUUAAAUAAUUUUAAUGCAUUAUCUUCUAUUUUAGAAACACAUAUGUAAUGGAAAAUAAUAUUCAGUGCGCUUAUCAGUAGUCCCAGUUCUUAACCCUAACCAGGUUUAAAAAGAAUUUGGAAAUAGCGGAAAAAUAUCUUUAGUCCCGGUUGAUGAGAACAACCGGGAGUAAAGAUAUCUUUACUCCCGAUUGUUCUCAUCAACCGUGACUAAAGAUCUAGGGGUAUAUAUAUUCCCGAUGCGCGCCCUCAUCUUCUCCACCAACACUUAGAAGUUUUUGCCCGAUCGAUCUCUCUUGGCUUCUCCUUCGCCGCCACUGCCUAGGGCAUCCCCGUGCUGACACCGCCGCCGUAUCUCGCUGUCGUCUCGCGCUCGUCGUCAUCGCCGCCAUCUCCGCCGCCGCCGCCUCCCUCUCAUCAGCUAUCUCUCUCCCUCUCGGUUGCCGCCGGCCGCCUCGUUGCAGACGCCGACGCCGACCUCGUCACGACACGACGUCGCGCCACAACGACGCCACGGCGGCACGACACGACGAGACGCCACGACGCCGCCGCGGCACGGCACCGGCGCCGCGCCGCCACGCCACCGCCGCGCAACGCCGGCGUCGUGCCGCGCGCUUCGCCGCCGCCGGGCCGCCCCGCCGCUGCUCCGCUGCCGCCACACCGCCGUCCCGCUGCCGCCCCACCGCCGUGAACGAACAUGAACGAGAACGUGAACGAGCGAAAGAAACGUGAACGAGAACGAGAACGAGCGAACGAACGUGAACGAGAACGAGCGAACGAACGUGAACGAGCGAACGAACGUGAACGAGAAUUGAACGUGAAAGAACAAACGAACGUGAACUAACGAGCGUGAACGAACGUCAACGAACGUUAACGUGAACGAACGUAAACUAACGAACGUGAACGUGCACGAUCGUGAACAAUAGUGAACGAACGUGAACGUGAAAUGCAAUAUAGGCAGGUGAAUGAACGUGAACGAACAAACGUAGGUGAAUGAAACGUGACCUUAACGAGAACGCGAACGUGAACGAUAUCGUGAACGAAACGUGAACGUCAAAUGCAAUAUAUGUUACUUCGCGUUUAUCCUAAUACAUCUUUUUGUAUCUUGCAGAAAAGACGUUGUCGGAGUCGUCCCUCAAGCCGAAGUGGUAGCUAGCCCUCGAAGGAAUUCGCGCAGACAAGUGACAUAAUUAUAUAUAUGAUUGUUAUAUUUGUAAUGCUAAUAAGACUAUUAGAUUUAAUAUACGACACUUAGACUUAGCAUAUAUCACUAUUUGAGUUUUAGUAUAAGAUUAUUAGAUUUGUAAUUAGACUUAGCAUAUAAGAUUGUGUAGGGUUCUAAUAUACGACAGUUACACUUAGCAUACAUGACUAUUUUAGUUUUAGUAUAAGAUUAUUUGAGUUUUAAUAUAAGAUUAUUAUAUUUGUAAUUAGACUUAGUAUAUAAUUAUUGACUAGCUAGGGUCCUAUAAUAUACGUCACCUAGACUUAGCAUAUAUCACUAUUUGAGUUUUAGUAUAAGAUUAUUAGAUUUGUAAUUAGACUUAGCAUAUAAGAUUGUGUAGGGUUCUAAUAUACGAUAGUUACACUUAGCAUACAUAACUAUUUUAGUUUUAGUAUAAGAUUAUUUGAGUUUUAAUAUAAGAUUAUUAUAUUUGUAAUUAGACUUAGUAUAUAAUUAUUGACUAGCUAGGGUCCUAUAAUAUACGUCACCUAGACUUAGCAUAUGAUUGUUAGCAUAUAAGAUUGUUAAAACAUAAAUGUCUCAUGACUUAGCAGAUGUUUCCUGUAUGAACAGAUGGCUGAUCGCGAUGAGGAAUAGAUAUUGUACGAUACAAUCGCGGAGGGAAGCAGCCAGUACUGGAACGAAGAAGAGGGGAACGAGAAUCCAAACCAGUAUUUAAACGAGGAAGGGAACGUGGAGAGGGAUGCGGAGGGGAACCAGGAGGGGCACGUGGAAAGGGAUGUGGAGGGGAACCAGGAGGAGAAGGCUAGUGGAAGUCAGCCCUUCGUUGGACAGAAGAGGGCACGCGGGCAACGAGGUGCCGCGAAGAAGCUUGAGGGUCGGCACAUCAUAACGGAAGUGGAUGAAGACGGACGACCUAGUGCCUCGGCAGAAGCCGCCAAGAACUAUGUACGUCACAGCGGUUCGGUUGUGCGGGAUAACGUGCCUGUCAGUACGGUGUACGGGCGCAGAACAAGGGCACACGGAGAUCAUGAGAGCUUUAUCCCAGAUUCGGAGAAAGAGAUGCUGUGGACCACAAUGCUCGAGACAUUCACCCUUCCCGCGGGUACAGAGGACAAAGUGAAAAGGUGGACUCUGAAGAAAAUGGCAGAACAGUUUCAGAGCUUCAAGGGAGAUCUGUACAAGAAAUAUAUCCUGAAGGGGCAGACACCGAACUUCGACACAUUCCCAAAGCUAAGGGAUCACUGGGACGAGUUCGUUGCAUAUAAGACAGGUGAACAAGGGCAGGCGAUGAUGGAAAGAAACAAAGAAAAUGUCGCCAAGAAGAAGUACCAUCACCACUUGGGGUCAGGCGGCUAUAGCGUCGCGAUGCUGAAGUGGGAGGAGAUGGAGGCUAGCUUGCUUGAGAGGGGUAUCGAACUGGCCACCGCUAAUUGGCCGGAACGAUCGAAGUUCUAGUACUAUGCUCACGGUGGAACGCUCAACCCAGCUGAUGGCUCCCUGGUCUUCGGCGAUCAGAUACACGAGGCUGCGCGUCGACUAACAGACGCAGUGGAAGCCUCUUCUCAGGGCACGUUCCGACCGGACAGAGAGAGGGACGAGCUGUCACUCGCCCUGCAGACUCCAGAGCAUACAGGACAAACACGAGGGAAAGGGGUGAUUCCUUGGAAGAUUGGGUUCAAGGAGGACAUCCACACGUACAGGAGUCGGAUGAGGAGCAAGAAAGAUACCGAGGCGAAGAUUGCAGAUCUAGAGUUCAGGGUAUCGAGCUACGAGCUCAGCAUGCAAGAGGAGGUGGCAAGGAAGGUUGAUGAACGCAUGGCCGCACAUCGGUCCCAUGAUCCCCAGUCGACCAUUCCUCCUGCAAUGGUGAGCCCGUCAGGAAACCGUAGCAGCUGCGCCUCAACGGGGCAGGUAGGAUCACAGAGCAUGGAUGCCAUGCAAACCCAGGACGAAUCCACCUGCCCCGUUGAUGACAUCACUCAGCGGACACCAUGUGAGCUGCAUAUUCCUUUCAAGAACUUAUCAAUAAAGGUAAGCUCGUAGUUUAUAUAUUUUAGAUUUGACCAUUCCGCUAGUUGCUGCUUAUAUAUGUUGAUUAAUAAUAAAUAACCUCUCACCACAUGAAGGUGGCGUCGGGCAUGGUCAUCCCAACGGACCCUUCAGGUACUUACCACUGCAGGCCGAUUCUAGCAAGAUACUCCAAGGUCAAAGUUGAGUUGGUCGAAGGCGCGUACGAGGACCUCGAGCUGGAUUACCCUGGAGGAGACGGUGAGACGCAUCUACGAGACACAAGCCAUGCCAUUAUUCUAUGGCGCAGGCGGUACAUCAUCCUCCCUGGGCGACAAGCGGCGUCUCGUGCACCAUCUCCUCCGGCUCCGCCAUCUCCUCCUCAGGAUCUUGCACCGACUCCUCCUCAGGCUCUUGCACCGACUCCUUCGCAAGCUCCUCUUCCGGCACCUUCAAAGUCAAGAGCCCCCCAAGCUCCACCACCUGCCCACACAAGGGCAACGAAAAAGGCGAAAGUUGAAGCCGCCAAGAACAAGGACCCGGGGUAUGAUUGUAAGCAAGAGGAGCUUGACGCUUACGUGACAUCAGAAGUCAAGAGACAAUUCAAGCCUCGAAGUCCAGAAAAGAAGAUUCCUAUAGACCCGAGUGUCAGGAACUUCUUCAGGGGUAUGUCUACACCUGCCAAGGAGACCAUAAAGCUAUCGAACUAUGAGCAAACGCUAAAGAAAGCAUCUUCUGGAAAGUCCAAACCAGUCCCUCAGCUUGGAGAGCAACCAAACCAAGAGAUUGAGUCGUUGGUGACCGGUGAAGAUAUUGGAAUAGAAGAAUUUAUUAAUGAUACCAGUCUAACUACGGAUCAAUUGCUAGGAGUCGCACCAAUCGAAAAGGCGGAAGUGAAAUACAUGUACGAACUCGGUAAACUGCUUGUCAAGCCUGAGCUGCUGCAAUCCCUACCCACACAAAUGUACAAGUUCCAUCAGCUGUACAUGGAGAUGAGUGCCACCGGUAGAGAGAUGAUCGGAGCGAGGAUCAGGGACACAAACUUCUUGCAAGGAGAUGACAUUCUCUGGAUCAAUUUCAACGGAAUCUACGAACCAUACCAGCUGGACGCCCUCGACGGCUCUAUUAUGAGUUGCUGGAUUUUGUAAGUAUAUCGUUCAGUUAGAUUUCUUACUACGUCUCCUUUAAUUAAUUAGGUCCUUGUAAAUAAGUAGACUAUAUAUAAUAUAUACUCCCUUUAUCGUUGUAGAAUGGAGAUUCAAAGGGCCCGACGGCAGGGGGGUUUCGAUACUGGAUUCAUCGACCCUCGGAAAGUAAACGUCGCAAUGCUCGACUAAUAUCCGCAAGCCACAGAGGACAAUCUCGUCCAUCUCCUGAAGGCGCAGCAUUACAAGACGUUCAUACUGUUGCCGUACAACACAGAGUUAAGUUUAAUUUUACUGUCUUCCUAUACCAAAUUUCAUUCCCGUACGAACUUGCUAAGUGUUUCAUAUGUAAUGCAUCCCACGCACAUUGCAGAUUCCACUGGGUGCUUUUACUCUUCGACCUGGCGGCCUGCACCGUCAACGUAUAUGACUCAAUGGAUAAAAAAGAGUCUACGUUUGACAAGGUUUUCGAACUUAUAGAUAGGUACUGUCAUAAGUUCCUUUGUUAAUUAAGAACAUCUUGUUAUGUUAAUUGCUACUACGAAUCAAAGCUUUAAACUCCAUGUAGGGCUUGGUAUCGGUUCCGUCAUUUGGUCCGCGGCAACUGGAGAGAAAGACUUAGGCGGAAGUUCAAAUUUCCUGUGAGUACACAUGCUCUACAUUUAUAUUUCUCCGAUUCAAAUACAUACAAGUGUAUAUUAAUUAGAUCUCUCGUCGUUUGUCAUUUAUUUGUACUGCGCAAAGCAAAAGCAGGGAACUAACUUGUGCGGCUACUACGUGUGCGAGUAUUGCCACUGCCUUGCAGACCAAAUCAUCACCACAAGAGAGCUCGAUGUACGUACAAAUAAAUUCAAAAUUUCAUUACGUAUCGAUUUGUUGUUUAAUUACUAAUCAAUUUCAUACAUUCAUAUAUUUUAUUCGCAUGAGGGAUAACCAGACCACACACAAGGAAUUUAUGACUACAUAUAUUUCUAUAUGCAUGUGUACACAUUUUCUAUAAUGUAAAUAUAUUUUGGUCAUAUAUAUAUAUAUAUAUAUAUAUAUAUAUAUAUAUACAUAUGCAUUUGCAUAACAUAUAUAUGUAUAAAUACAUAUAUAUUAAUACAUGACUACAUAUGUUUCUAUAUGCAUGUGUACACAUUUUCUAUAAUGUAAAUAUAUUUUGGUCAUAUAUAUAUAUAUAUAUAUAUAUAUAUAUAUAUAUAUAUAUAUAUAUAUAUAUAUAUAUAUAUAUAUAUAUAUAUAUAUAUAUAUAUAUAUACAUAUGCAUUUGCAUAACAUAUAUAUUUAUAAAUACAUAUAUAUUAUGCAUGUACAUAUGUAUUGAAACAUAUAUAAAUAUAAUAUAAUAUAUAUAUAUAUGCAUAUAUUAUAUAUGCAUAUAUAUGUAUUGAAACAUAUAUAUGCAUGGUUUAUAUAUAUAUAUAAAAUAUAUAUAAACCAUGCAGCAACAGGGCCAUGAAAAAAAAAAAUGGUCAGCUCCACCAACCGGGAGUAAAUAUGGCUCAUCCGGCCACGUGGCUGAGCCAUCUUUAGUCCCGUUGGUGUUACCAACCGGGACUAAAGAUCGAUCUUUAGUCCCGGUUAUUUCACCCGGGACUAAUGAUAGCGAUCUUUAGUCCCGGAUUGGUAGCGAUCUUUAACUAAGACAGGCUUUAGGGGCCGACAGGCCAAAAACACUCCCUACAAACAAAAGACCCAUACACAAAAUAGGAUAAAAACACCACAGGCAACGCCUGAGAGCAGAUCGACCUAGAACAAGAACUCAUCAGCACCAUAGAAUUCUUCCCCUGCCUGCACCUCCUCCGGGAAGGAUUGAUCGUCCGAACUCAUCAAGGAGGUUUGAUAACAAGCCUAUUAUAAAUAGUUUUUCCCUACUUUGUAAAACAUUUCAUUUGCAAACAGUUGUAAAUCAUCAUGUUAAAAUAGCAGCAAUAUUAAUCACCAUUCAUCCUCAUCUUCGUCAUAUUCUAUAUUUUAAUUUAAAAAUCUACUCAUACCAUGAUAAAUAGGAAUCACCCAAUGACAUAGCUUCUGAACCGGAAGCACAGCACAUUCAAAUGAUUUAAGACUCAUCUCUGUAGAGACUGCCUAGCUUUACCCACCUGAUGUCAACAGCUAGCUAGACUGAGGACAACAUAGCCACUCGAGAGUCCCACUUACUACUAGUUACUGCCCAAUGGGAUAUUGAUCCGUCCUAGCAGUCGGGCACUUGCUGGGCCUAAGCAAGGCUAGACGGUUGCUGCUUUCACGGGUUCCACCGUUGCGGAUCAUGUCAACCUGGCCGAAGCCCCUUCCACAUGUCCACCCCAAACCUGCUCAUAGAGCCACCCUACAGUCUUUCAUAUAGUGGGACAAUGUACUAGGCUAAGUCUAAUUACUCAGUCCUGUGGAUGGGCGCAAAUUACAUCAUUUUCCAUGGCAUAAGAGGGUAGUCCUUAUAUCCGGGGAAAGCCACCAAAACUAGCAUAGGUCCGUGCAUACUUCAAGUGUAAUAUACACUUUCCACAAAAUAUUAUAACAAUAUGCACGGCCUCACAUACCACAGCAUCCAUCUUCACCCGGAAUUGUUCUUCCAUAUCACUCCAGGCGAGUGAGUCAUAUCAAAUAACACAUUUUAUAUCACCCGACACGCUACCACGUGACGACGGGUAAACCAUGUAUAUGAGUAUAGAUAUUUGGUGGUCUUAUCCACUAGAAUAUUAUUGUGAAGUAUAUAAAUCUACACCUAGGUUAUCAAAGGACGUGAUAUAGCAAUUCAUGGAUUUGGCCAAUAAUAACAAUGUAAUAAUGGGUAAUAACUAAACUAACAAGUUUAUUAAAAAAUAAUUCAUACGCAAAAUAAUUUUAUAAAUACUCAAUGCAGAAAAUAACUAAGUGGUUCUCUACUAUAUUUCAAUAUGAUCAAAGAUUGGAACUGUGGCUUGCCUUGUGGAACGUGGCCUUCUGAAGCUUGAGCGUAGCCUUCUAGGUCCACUUCAGUUCCUGUGAAUCCGGUGGAAUC
This 80392-nucleotide long non-coding RNA is filed under the name Oryza sativa (Asian cultivated rice). RNAcentral's name for it is "long non-coding RNA (OSAT_LNC001581)". Lineage: Eukaryota; Viridiplantae; Streptophyta; Magnoliopsida; Poales; Poaceae. The record is from RNAcentral.